AUAUGUAGAAGACUUAUUGCAGUUAAUUAUGAGUUAUUUAUAAAUUCAUUCUAAUUUUUUUUUUUUAAGAAAAGAGAACAAAAAGCCGAACAACCAAGGUCAACCAUCGCAACUCGCCAAACCACUACCCCUCUCCAUACCUCCGCCGCCAAAAACCCCCUCUUUUCCAAGCGCUAUCUCUCACCUGCACCAGUAUACCAACCCCCCAAAGGGCCAAACCCACUCCCACCCAUCAAACAAAGAAAUCAAUUCCUCUCAACUACAGACUCUGAGACUCAUAGUCUCUGUCUUUCUCUCUCAAAUAAACCUUUCACAGUAGGUAGAUUAUGGAUUAUGGGUGUUUGGGGAGAGUGCAAGAAAGAGAGGUGGAGAGAGAGAGAGAGAGAGAGACAGAUGGAGGUUUUACAGACCGGACGGGAUAGCUCAAGAGAUUGGGUGGAUCGCUGGAGAAAGAAAAGUGGAGAAAAAAAGUGGCUUUUUUUUUCUUUGAAGUUUUCAUUUUUCAAUAUUUUGUGAAGUUGACAAUGUUUUUUUCUUUGUUGGAUAUUUAUUGACGUUGUUUUAGAAAUAAAGUGAGUGAAAAGUAACAUUUUAAUUUUUUUCACUGGGUUAGAUUAUAAUAUGGGUAAAAAAAAAUGACAAUAUACAGGGUCUAGCAGCACUCAAAACCAUUGCAAUUGUACCUAUUAUAUUUAUAGGGAAGAUAUAAUGUAUUUACUUGUUAAAAGAAAGUACCAAUAAAAUUGCCAUAUAUAAUUAUGGUGCAAUUCCUACAUCCUCCCAAAAGUAAAUUGUUUUCAUACGUGUGUACCCCUAAUUUUUUUAAUAAAAAAAUAUACCCGUAUAAUUAGAUACAAAUUUCAAAAGAAUGUAGCCAUUUAGGAAAAAAAAAAAAGGUAUCCAUAAGAGUUCUAGCAAAUAUAAUGGACCCAUGAUUAUUGAUAAAAGAUUGAUAAAUUCAGUCAAACGAAAAAUGAGAUGAAACUAUUCGAACGUAUAAAAAUUCAAAUUUAAAUUUCAAACUAAAAGGAUGUUAGGGAUAUCUAGCUGCAAUAAAAUCCCUUAAAUUAUGUAAAUAAUCAAUUAUCCUAAACAGAAAUGACAUAAAAGGAAAUGAAUAAACAAGUAUAUUUAAAUAAAAAGAAAAGGAAAAUCUGACAUGAGAUUUGAUUAAUUUUAAGAAUUUGAUAUGGACAUAAGUAAAAGGACUUCAAACAAAAAUUUAAAACUAAAAAUGUUUUAAUCAAGAAAUAUUAGUGACUAGGGACCGGACCUAAUUAUCCCCAUUUUUAAUCUCAUGACCCAUUUUAACUCAAAACAAGUUGAUUUAAGCUAGAAAAGAAAAGGCAUAUAUGUAAGAAUUUGGGUAGACACAAUCAUUAUGUUGAUAGAACUGUAUUAAGUAAGUUAAUAGAGUUUUGUAACGCUAAGUUAUACGAAACAUUCAAAACAAUAAUGUUGAGAAUUUAUUGCAAUUAAUUACAAGUUAUUGAGAGACCUAUUGUACUCCUAAUAGGUGGAUAUCCAUGGGCUAAUGUGAUUAUGAAAAGGUUCUAUAAGAUGCAACCUCACCAAAACCUCUUGUUAAUAUCUUUUAUCUUAUGACCCAUUUUUUAGCCCAAAAGCUAGUUGAUUUGAGCUAGAGGAAGAAGAGGCGUACCUCUUUACAUAGCUUUGAAUUUCCAGGCAUCAUUUGUCUCAGUUGAUUUUCAGUAUUAUACUCAUCCAACACGUCAUCGGCUUCAUAGACUGCUUCUUCUACGCUUUGGAGCCACUCUUUGACUUCAUUGUUGGCUUGCUUUUGCUCAGCGUCAAGAAGAACAGCUUGAAAUCCGGCAACUGUCACCUUGAGCUUCUGGAACUCAUCACGGGCACCCCAAAUCAAUCCAAUCUCUUGGGAAGCAAGGGGGCCUAGCCUCUCAAUGAUCCCUCCGGCAACGUUGAAGAGAACUCCUUCCGCCAUUUCUUGGAUUCAGGACAAGAAAAACACAAGUGAAGUGAAGUAGAAGCUUGUAAGUGAGAAAAUGAUUUUGCGUAGUGAAAGAUGGCUCCUCCUGCUAGUCUUUAUAUGCCGACACUUACAUAUAAUUCCAUGUAUAAAAUGAUCAUUCCACUCAAUAAUUGAACUACUUUAGUCUAGUGGCUUAAUAAAGUAUUGAUCGAUUACAAUCAGACAAAUGGGAAAACUCAAUCAUUCAAUUUAGUGAGGGAAAUUUUAUUUAAACACAUAUAACUUUUUUCCACAUUCAACUUAUUCUCUACAUCUAUAUUAAUUUCAAUUAAACUAUCAAUAUCUCCUUAAACUCAAAUAUCUACCUAAACCCAAUUCAAUAUAUAAAUUUAUCUUUACACCCAUUCAAAAAAUAAACCCAAAAUCAGUUGGAGACAGCUCUAUUUUUGAAAUUAUUUUCAUGUCUGAUUCUUAAGUGUGCGAACCUGCUACUCCAAUAUUUCUCAAGAAGAAAGUGCCCAUGCAGGAUGGUGAUCCUUUUCUCUUUUUUCUCGCUAGAGUCGAAAAUAUAGUCACAAUGAUAUACAUUGUUCUCAUUUGUAUAGGACGGAUGAUACUCGUUAUCAUCAAUGUCCCAAUCUUCUUCUGUUUUAAUGCCACGCAAGAACCAUAUUUGCUUAAUGCAUCAAUCAUAUGCUAUCUGUUGAGUUCAUGUUCAUUGGUUUAAACUAUUCUUGAAUAUAUAUCAUAGCAGAACUCAAGGGCUUUAUCAAAGCCGUAUUUGCUAUAUUUCAAGUUGUUAGAAGUAAGAACAAUUUUGCUAAUUAUCACUAUGUUCCGGAUUUGGACUUCACUUUUGGAGAUGAAUCCUUUCGCAUUGGUUGAUGGAUGACACAACUGCUUUCAAGAACUUCAAAAAGUACAUUUCUUCACUCCGGUUGUUUUUACCUUAUAUGUUUUUCUUAUGUAUAUGCCAAGCUAUUCACUAGCGUUUUAGCUUCAGUAUUUUUAUGUUUCAGUUGGUGGCAGUAUUGAAUUCCUAAUGCCUUUUGGAAGAGUUAUGAGUCCUAUAGAGAAAUUUAUUCACGGGUUAACAAAGACCUUCUUUGCACGCAAUAUACUUUUAAACUCUAAAAAAAAUUAAAAAAAAUGUGCAUAAAUCGAUUUAUAUCUUAGUUGAAGGAUUUGGAACUUCAAAAUUAUCAUCCAUUAGUCAAAAUGAACAUAUGAUAAAGAUUGAGUGAUGGUAAAGUUUGAUUAUUGAGUAUGGGUUUAUUGAUAACCUUUAGUUUUAUUAUUAAUUUCUUCUUCUACUUAAUGGUAAUUAUGCAAUAGUAAAAAUGACAAUUAACAAUUAAAAUAUAAGUUAGGUGUAGAGUGAAACUAUGUAGGUUCAAAUAAAAUUUCUCUUAGUCUAAUAAAUUAUUAGCUAGUGCUGUAGUUAAAGCUUGUGUCGUGGGGAGUGGACCCGUAAGAAAACGCAAUUACAACAAUCAUGGUUUUGUUUGUGUCUUCCACUAAUGACGGGAUUUGAUUUCCAGCACAUGUUCUCUCUCCCACACGCUACUAUAUACCCGCCAUUAGACUACACCCCAACACUGCACGUUUCUACCAUUAGCGCAUUUGUAAACCUAGCACUGCACGUUUCUACACCCAACACUUUCAAAUAGAAGCAAUCAGUCCAAUUUUUCACUACUAAUUUAUUCAUCGAUCCUCACAUUUAUUGUGUAAUUAAUAACUAAUAAUUAUAUAUUGUAUUGUUUUUUAUGUUUGAGCAACUGAGAAAAUUAACCUACUCCAACUUCUGAAGCUUUCUUUCAGCUGAGAAGAUUUGAUCUACUCUAAUUUCUAGUUUCAAAAUGAGGGUUGAGAAAAAACAAAUAAUAAUAAUGCUACUCUUUUGCUAAGUGUCUUCAUCUCAUAAGGUGUAAGAUGAAAUGCUAAAAUUGCUUGAUAUAAGCUUGAAUACUGCCAAAACUACGUAACCAUUAGAAGACUACCAGUGAAACAACAUUGUAUACUAAAAGUAAAGGGAUGAUGAGAUAUCAUAAUGUUCAUUUAUGUUGAUAAUAUAAUAUACACUAGGAGCUGCAAAGAAUUAAUGGAUGAAUUUAAAUUAGUUUCCAGAAUCUACAAUAAAAGUGAUGAGAUAUUAGUAUUAUUAUUAUUAUUGUUAUUAUAGAUUGGUUUCUAGAAUUUUAGUUUAUUUAUCAGAUGCUAUGAAAUUAGCCUGAGGCCAUCAUACAAAUGGAAGCAAGUACUCUGAAGGCUCUCCAUUUUUAAUGUCCUUCUCAGAGGACAAAGGCUAAAAAUAAAUGUUUUAAAGUAAAUUUCAAAAAACUCUAAUAAUCUCACACAAUUCGAAUACUUUUUUUUCUCCAUCUCGCAACUUUCUCUUGGAGUCUUGAUUUUCAUGAGUAUAAUCACUGAUUUUGAGUGAACUCCACCUAUUUUUUCACUCUUAAAAAGUUAUUAAAUGAUCAAACUGUGGAAUCAAAUUCUAUUUUUUCACUCCCAUUCCACUUUAGUAAACAUACAAAAUACAAAUAUACCAUUCCGAAGAAAUUUCAAAUUUAAAUUUUGGUUCUCCAAUUAAUUAAACAAAAUUAUAACCAACUUUUUCACAAGUUCUGAACGGUUACAAUCAGACAAUUAAUUUACAGACCAUCUUAUGUGGCCCCACUAACAUGUUAACACCUGUAAUAUAAGAUUAUCACCAAACACCAUCCUAUCUUGCCAACCAAACAUCCUCCACUUCCUUUGAACCUAUAACCAAACAUCAUGCUUCAUCCUUCACCUCCCAAACUGCCAUGCAAGGAAGAAAAUAUCGGUAAUAUCGGAAAUAUCGGUAGUCCGAAAACACGGAAAUAUCGAUGGAAAUAUCGGGAUAAUAUCGAUAUCGAUAAAAAUUACAUGGAAACCACGGAAAUUGUAAGAAAAACUUGGAAAUUUUUAAUGAAACUUUGUAGGAUGUUUAUUUAGUCAAUUAUCUAUUAGUUUAUCACAAAAAAUUGGAAGGAAAUGCAUUGCAUGAUGGAUUUAACUGAUUUAAGUUGAUUAUAUAGCGAGCUGGCAAACAUUGUGAGUGUAGAAAAUAUGUAGUAAUUAAUGAAAGAAGUUUAAACACACCAUAAUCAUUUAUAUAUAAUUAAUUAGUACAAUAUUUGGAGGUUUUAUUUAGGAUAUUAAAAAAAAAAAAAGGGAAGUGAAUAAAAUGAUGAAGAAUAAUGUGCCGAAUUUGACAAUUUAAAUUUCUUACACAUAAGCAUGCGUCUAGGCGUUGAAGUUCCAAAUUAUAGUAUAUCAAUUAACGAUUGAAAAUCAAUACAUUGAAUAAGAUUAAACUUUAAUUUGGAUGCCGAUUAUGUUUUUUCAAACUUGAUAUAAAGUAAAAAGUAUUGAAUUUUUGGAAGCUAGGAGUGUGUCAAUUGAAUUUUGGCUGACGUGCAAGGUAUCAAUCUCUUCGUCUCUUCGAGGGCUACAACUUUCCUUUUUGUUUCACUCAAUUUCGUUGCGUAUUGAAAAAGUUAUACUCAUUUGAAUCUUACCCAGUUUCCGGCGACCUCAGUAGAUUUCGAGGCAAUUUCCGGCCAAACCACAACGAGUCAGACGUCGUGUGAGGUACCAUUCUCUUCGCGUCUCUUCGAGGGCUACAACUUUCCUUUUUUGUUUCACUCAAUUUCGUUGCGUAUUGAAAAAGUUAUACUCUCAUUUGAAUCUUACCCAGUUUCCGACGACCUCAGCGACCUCAGUGACUUUCGAGGAAUUUUCCGGCCAAACCACUACGAUUCAGACAUCGUGUGAGAUACCAUUCUCUUCGUCUCUUCGAGGGCUACAACUUUUCUUUUUGUUUCACUCAAUUUCGUUGCGUAUUGAAAAAGUUAUACUCAUUUGAAUCUUACCCAGUUUCCGACGACCUCAGCGACCUCAGUGAUUUUCGAGGCAUUUUUCGGCCAAACCACUACGAUUCAGACAUCGUGUGAGGUACCAUUCUCUUCAUCUCUUCGAGGGCUACAACUUUCGUUUUUGUCUUGCUUGAUUUCGUUGAGUUUUGACAAAGUUAUGGCCGUUUAAAGUGGGUGUAAAAUUUCGGCCGAAAUUUUGAUUUUUUCCCCCAUUGGGCGAGUCCCACAUCGCCCAUGCAAGGAAGUGAGCAAUGAAUUUUUCCUAUAAAACUCACACUCCUCUGGUGAGAUAACCAAAACUUGUUUGGCCUUUGGGCCAUGAUCAAGUUAACUAUGUGUUAAGUUUUCUCAACAUAUUUAAGUAUUUAUUUAAUAAAAUAUGUUGAUAUUAUCGAUAAUUUCAAAAAUAUCGCGAUAUUAUCGAUAUUAUCAAUAAUAUCGCGAUAUUUUGACGAAAAUAGGUUGGAUUGUUAAAAAAAUUUCGGAACUUUAAAAAAACGAUAAUAUCGGCGAUAUUUUGCCGAUAUUAUCGAUUUUUUCCUCCUUGCUGCCAUGGCAUAUUUAUCGACGUCGUACACACCGACCCAACGCCAUCACCCCCUCUAAUCUGAUGCCUUCCUCGUCGACCCAACCAACCCACCCCUAUUUCUCACCUCCGUUGACCUUCCUUCGUAACACCCAUAUUAAACCAAUAAAUUUGACCGGCAAAGAGGAGUGGGGUAUCUGAAUAACCAACUCGUCGCCGUCGACGAGGAAUGGAGUGGGGUAUCUGAAUAACCAACUCGUUGCCGUCGAUGAGGAAUGGAGUGCGGUCGCUGUCGAAGUGCACUGGAGUGGGGUCGCCAUAAAAGAGAGGGUUCGACAUGGGUUCGCCGGUGAACAGAGGCGUUAGGGUUGUCGAGGUCGUCGGAGAAGAUAUGGGCGGAGUGGGGUCGCUGGAAAAAGAAGAGAUUGGUGGCGAUCUCGCCGAAGAAAAGAAGGGUUGGGGGUGGGCUUUCCGGAGAAGUGAGGGAUUGGGUUGGUCUCAACGGAGAAGAGAAGGGGGAGAAUGGAGGGGGAUGAGGGUUUCCAGCACAUAGACAGGAAAGAAGAUAGAAGAUGGAUAGUGUUUGGUUACGGAGAUAGUAGGAGUUUGAGAGAGGUUUGAGAGAGAAAUUUCUUUUUUUUUUUGGUAAAAAGAGAGAAUUUUCUUUGACUGGUGUUAAAAUUUUAAUGGGACACGUAGGAUGGUGAACAAAUUGAGUACCACCCGGUGAGGACCCAAGGAUUGUCCGACAAAGAAAGUCAUGAAAUGGGAUCCAUUUGGAACGAGGAAAUUUCAAACCUCAAUCCAAUGUCGAUUUCAAUCAGACAAUGAGGAUCCAAGGGGAUCCUCUUCCGUACUUUUUAUACCCAUUUAGUCUAGUGGUAUAAUAAACUAAAACAUAAUCAUUCUACUUUAGGGGAUUUGAUUUCCAACAAAUGUUAUCUCUCCCACUCCCUGGGGGCCUACACGCUACUGAGAAAAUUAGAUCUACUCCAAUUUCUAGUUUCGGGUUGAGAAAAAAACAAAUAAUGAUAAUACUACUCUUUUGUCAAGUGUCUUUAUCUCAUAAAGUGUAAGAUGAAAUGCUAAUAUUACUUUGAUGUAAGCUUGAAUACUGUCAAAACUGUAUAAUCGUUAAAAGAGUACCAGUGAAGCAACAUUUUACACUAAAAGUAAAGGGGAUGAUGAGAUAUCAUAGUGUUCAUUUAUGUUGAUGAUAUAUCUUCGCUAAGAGAUGCCAAGAAUUCAUGGAUGAAUUUAAAUUGGUUUUUAGAAUCUACACUAAAAGUAAAAGGGAUGCAAGAUAUUAUUAUUAUUAUUAUUUAUUGGUUUCUAGAAUUUCAAUUUAUUUAUAAGAUGUUAUGAAAUUAGCGUGAGGACCAGCAUCCAAAUGGGAAGAAAGCACCCUGAAGAGCUCUCCUUUUUAGAGGAUAUAGGCAAAAAUAAAAGUUUUUGGGUAAAUUUCAGAACUCUCUAGUAAUCUCAUACAAUUCAAAUACUUUAUUUCUCUCCAUCUUGCAACUUUUUCUUGGAGUCAAUAUCUCAUGCCCCCUCAGUAUUAGAAUUAAUGAUUUUUCAUGAGUAUGAUUAUUGAUUUUGAGCGGACUCCGCCUAUAUUUUCAUUCCUAAAAAAAUUAUUAAACUUUUAAAUCGCAGAAUCAAUUGAGAAAGAAUUCAAUUCCCGUUUUUCCACUCCCAUUCCACUUUAGUAAGCAUACCAUUAAUCUAUGAACAUUUUUGUUCGACAAAAUCUUAAAUUUAAAUUCUGGCUCUCCAAUUAAUAAAACAAAAUUAUGAUCGAUUUUUUUUUCACAAGUUCUGAAUGGUUUAACAUAUUGUGACAGCCCGUUCCGAAUUAAAAUAUAUUUUAUCUUUGAAUGCAUAGAAAUGACGAUUUUACCCUCGUAGGGCUUGUGGCGUGGAUAUACGUAAAUAAUUUUAAAUCAUUUUAUGUGGAUGAAAUUAAAUUAUAUUUGAUGCCACGGGAGUAUCGACAUUAAUUAAGGGCCUAGUUGGGUUUGUAGUGGAAAAAUUGUGAAGAAAUAGGGGGAAUUUAGGACCAUUGAAAUUGCCCAAUCCGGGCAUGUACACACACACACCCACACGUGCACCCCAUCUCCUUCUCUCUUUCUUCUUACCCUCUCUCCCCGUCUGUACAACCAAACCCCAUAACCCUUAAACCUCACUUUUCAUCCACAUAUCGAGCUUGAGGACAGUGCUUCCCUUGACCUUACUAGUCGAGCCGUACCGUUGGUUUGAGGAGAAGACCGGUAAAAUCCGAAAUACCCGAGCUUCGGCGAGGUACCCUGUUACUCCGACGUGAUUGUGGACGUUCCACGGUAUUUUAAGGCUCAUAAAGGGUCCUAAACAAUUAUUCUAGGAUCCUGGGUUAGUUUUGGAAUGGUUAGAAUGUCGAAAAUCUUGGAUUUGUCGAGGUUCAAGUUCGGCCGGUUGUGUCGAGUUAUUUUCCGACUGUUUUCCGUCGGUGUUAAAACUUCAAAUUGUUUCUGGCGACGCAGAUGACGGCCAGCGGCGGAGUCCGGCGAACCACCUGAGAAAAAGGAGGAAUAUUCUGUCAACUUUGACGAAAUAUACUUAACGGCGUCAAGUGAGACGUUUUGGGAGGACGAGCGCAGCCAGGCGUGACUCAGGGGUUACAACCCAGCUACAUACCAGUGAAUGGGCUUUUGGUUUUCUAUAUAUACGUAUAUAUGCUUACGUUUUCCCAUAAAUGAAUUUAAAUGGUUUUACGUUUUAAAAUGCGAUGUCAUGUUUGCUUUACAUUUUAGCAUAUGAUUUAGUAUAGCUUUGCAUAAUAUUGCAUGCUAUUGCGGAGGCUAAGGUAAGUUCAGGUAAGUACAUAUUGUUGGUAUGGUUGCACAGUAGUUAGUUAUGAAUCGAUGUGUGUAGAAUUCAUUGUCCUGCAUCCCGGUGUUAGUGCUUCACCCGAAGCCAGGACCUAGCCUUCACGUGAUCGUUCACCUCCCACACCACACGCUCACCUUGGAUCUAAGGCAGGUGCUAGCCUAUCGUACAUACCACAUUAGGUGGUUUCGACUCGUAGGUGACUUGCGAUACUUCGCAUAGCCUUCACUUGAUCGUAGCACUUGAGCAUAUUUAUUUACACCUAACCUGUCGUACAGACCACAUUAGGUGGUUCCAGCUCGUGUGCAGGACUUGACUGAUGAGUUAUAGACUCAGCCGUACAGGUCAUGUUAGGUGACUCCGGUUGAUAUGUCAUUUAUUAUUAAUUCAUUUCACUUGGUUUACUUAUGCAUUGUGGAGAUAAUUGACAUGGCAUACUUGGAGUUUUUACUACUAUCGAGCAUAGUUCUUAUAUAUGUACGUAGUACUAUUUUCUGGGAAACUAUACGGGUUUUAUAGUGAGGGGUUAUUACUUUUGGAAAGAUAAAUUGUUUUGAAAAGCUUUGUUUUCGCCCACUCACAUUUUCUGUUUUGUGCCCCUCCAGGUUCUAGGUAGAAGUUCGUAUUGGUGGCUCACGAGGACUCAUCGGCGGUUCUGACAGACAUCUACCAGUGUAAGGUUUCUAUCAUGUUCUGUAUAAUCAGUAGUUAAACUUCUGGACUGCAUUCUGAUACCUAUGCUCUGAAUAUGUGUGUAUCUACACUCUAAAUACUUUCCCUAGUACUUAUAUACUAUACUAGUGUAAAUUAGUUAGUUGGUUUUUAUUUUAUCCGUAUUUUUAUAUCACGUACAUUUCUGCACAGCGCACAUGGCUGCGUCACCCUCACGUGAUGGCCCGCAUGCCUCGAUCGAGGUCGGGAUGUGUCACACAUUCUAUAUCUUUUCCAAAAUCUAAGGUUAAAAGCCUAAAACCCUCAAUUAUGAGAGUUGAGAUCCUCUUCAGAUCUCUCUUGAAAGGCCCAAACUCCCGAGUCCGGCUAUUCUGGACACAAAAAAGGACAUUUGUUUAUGUCUUCCACCAAUCAGGGGAUUUGUUUACGUCUCCAAUUUCUGACGCUUUCAUUUUUUUUUCAGCUGCAAAAAUUAGAUCCACUCCAAUUUUUCUAGUUUCAAAAUGAGGGUUGAGAAAAAAAAAACAAAUAAUAAUAUUAAUUAGAUUUUAUUUUUCAAUGUUGUUUGCUACAUUAUCGUGUUACUUUAUUAUUAAUAAUACUAAUUUGGUUUUGUAGAUUAAGAUUUUUAAGCGAGAAACAAGUUCAAAAUUCAAUUGAGGUAUGAAUCUUUUUGCUUUUUUGGGCUGUUGAAUUCAUCCUAGCCUUUACUGCAUUUUUUUUUUUUUACCGCUUCUCUCUGCAUGCUUCUAGCUGUUGUGUGUGUGUGUGUGUGUAGUAUUCAAUUGUUUUGCAUUUAUUUUUUGGAGUUUUAACGAAAAGCCCGCGGUACUCUUCACUUUAACGAAAAAUCAUAUUUUUACACUAAAAAGUCAAACCUGAUAUUAUUUACUUUACCCUUUAUUUUGUCUUUGUCGUUAAAACUCAAAGUUUUCAAGCCAUUUUCAUUAGUUUCCUUUUUAUUUUUUCCUUUCAUUUUUACUCAAUUUUUGUACUGUUUCUCCAUGUGUUGCUUCAUGUAUGUUUCUCGAUUGUUUGAGUUUACUCUUUGCCUUCAGUUUUUAUUGAAUUUUUUGACUUUUUGUGCAUGAAAUAAUCUAUUUGUUAUAUGUCAUGGUUAAAGGUUUGGUUUCUUUCUUUUUUCCCUUUUAUCAAAAGAAAACUAAUGAAAAUGGCUUGAAAACUUUAAGUUUUAAUGAUAAUGACAAAAUAAAGGGUAAAGUGAAUAGUACCCAGAUUGACUUUUUAGUGUAAAAAUAUGGUUUUUCGUUAAAGUGAACAGUACCGGGUGUUUUUCGUUAAAGUUCCAUUUUAUCAAUCCUCUCUCUUUACAAUUUAAGUUGAAUUACCAUGGGAUGUACAACAAGGGAGGCUAAAAAGCAGUCUAGCCCCAGGAAAAGGCCAUAAACAAAGAAAGAGACCAGUGCUUAAAAGAGGCUAGCGAUGGUUAAACUUAAAAGAGGCUAAGUAGUCCGAAAGAGAUUUAACAAGACAUAAAACGCAACUUUUGUCCAAAUCCUAGACAUCCCACUAACCCAAAAAAAGUACAAAAUGACAGCUGGCUACUCCAACGUGAUCAACACCUUUGGUUCAUUUUCCACGUUGGUGGAUUACCCUAAGCCCCUCAAAUAAUUAACAAAUCAUCCAAACGUGUUUCACGUUGGUGGGUUAUCCUGAAUCUCUUAAUAAUUAACAAAUAAAUCAGCAUGCUUUCACAGUGCAUCUGCACAUUUUGGUUCCAGGAAGUGAUAAAACUGAAAGUUGAACAAUGUUUUUACAUCAGCUCCACAACAUCAUUAACUUUUGACACCUUCAAUUAUUUUGAAUUAAUAGCACAAUAAUAAAGCUACUUUAAUUUUCUUCUUUGGGAUUACUUUAAUUAUGCAGGCAUCCUUGGUUGCAUUGCCUUAAAAAUGCAUGCAAUCUCGGACACUUAACAAAGUUGCUUACUUUGAUGAGCAAUUUUCCCCCAAAAAAGAAUUGAGUGCAUCAGGCACAGAUCAUGGCCCAUAAAUUAUAAAAAUAGUUACGAAAAACUACAAAAGCAAGUGCCCACUUAAUAUACGUCUAAAUGUGUGUCUAAAAAUUUAAAGGUGUGGUUUACUAAAAAUAAUAAAUAAAUUAAUUAAUUAAAUGUGUGAACAAAAGUUUAAAAUUAUGUGAAAAAGUCUAAAGGUGUCAAAAAAAUAGUAUAAAUGUGUAUGUAAAAGUCUAAAUAUGUGUGUAAACGUCUAAAGCUGUGUGAAAAUAAAGACUUUUGAACACUUAUAUUUUAUGUUGUCGUGUAAAAUCUCUAUAAAAGAGAUGUCUAUGUAUGUUUGUAAUCAAUCACAUUCCAGCAAUACGAAAAUAAAAUAUUUUUGUUAUCAGAAGAAACUUGUUGCUAAUAGUCUGAAAAACAUUCAAACUAAUUUUCUAAAACCAGUGAAACAUAAUUUCACACUAAAAGUAAAGGGGAUGAUGGCAUAUCAUAGUGUUCAUUUAUGUUGAUAAUAUAAUCUACACAAGGAGCUGACAAGAAUUAAUGGAUGAAUAUAAAUUGGUUUCCAGAAUUUAGGCUAAACGUAAAAGGAAUGUUGAGAUAUUAUUAUAAUUAUUAUUAUAGAUUGGUUUCUAGAAUUUCAGUUUAUUUAUCAGAUGCUAUGAAAUUAGCCUGAGGGCUAGCAUCCAAAUGGAAGCAAGUACUGAUGGGCUCCAUUUUUAAUGUCCUCCUCAGAGGACAUAGGCUAAAAGUAAAAGUUUUACGGUAAAUUUCAAAACUCUCUAAUAAUCUCAUGUAAUUUGAAUACUUUUUUUUACUCCAUCUUGCAACUUUCUUUUAGAGUCAAAAUCUCAUAGCACCUAAUGAUAUUUAUUUUUAUUUGUAAGUGAAAGAUUUUAAGUUCGAGUCUCGAUUCUCAAAUUAAUUAAACAAAAUUAUAACUAACUUUUUCACAAGUUCUGAAUGGUAUUCAUAUUGUAUCCCUUUUCCACAAUAUAGGCUUAAACGCCACAAUUACAGGGACAAAGAAAGUCAUAAAUUGGGGUCCAUUUGGAAUGAGGAAAUUUCAAUGCUCAAUCCAAUAUUGACUAGCAGAGAGCAUACACUUUGUGUGUAUGAACAACCGCCCACCUCUUCUCACGUUCUCAUCAAACGAAACUGCUUCAGUUCAUUCAAACUAUCCAAAAAAUAUUAUGAUUUCACUUACCUGUAUGAAAAAAUGAGAGUGGGACAAUUUUUCUUAAUAAGUGCAUAUUUUUUUAUUUUAUGUAAAUAUUUUGAUACAAAAUUACUAUUUUACCCUCCUCAUCUCAACAUUGUGUAUUCAAAAGUGAGAGGCAAAAUUAGAAAAAAUAGGCAAAAAGGUUGAUAAGGUGUAUUCUCUUAAUAAUAGUAUAGAUUACAAUAUGAGGAUUCGAGGGGAUCCUCAUCCGUACUUUUUAAACCCAUUUGCAAUUUUAUUGGUAUUCACAGUUUUAAAUUUACCCAUCGAUCCUCACAAAUUAUGCUAUUAAAUUUAGUACACUACUAGCCUUCACGCACGUGCGUGAGCGCGAAGAAGGUUUUUUUUGAAUCACAGCGCAACAUGCGUGCGUUUUAAAUGUAUUUAUAGACGUAAAUUGACAAAAGGAAAAUUAAAUAUUUGAAGUAAAUGAAUAAUUUUCAAUUAUGCUAGAACAAACCUCUUAUAAACCAAUUAAAAUCGUUGAAUUAACAUAAUAAAAUCAAUUUCUAUAGAAUUUACAUUAGGAAUAGAGAAAAUAAUAUUUAAUAAACAAUUGAUUGAAUCACAUUAUUACUAGCCGAUGUACUAAUUAUUAAAAAAACAAAACAAAAAUUGUACAGGAAAAAGUUAAAUAUUAAAAAACUGUUUAAAACUGUACACUGAAUAGUUAAAUAUUAAAACACUGUUCAUCACUGUAGACUAUAUAGUAAACUAUUAAAACACUGUUUAUAUGACGAAAAUACCCCUGCAUUAUUUGUUGUAUUAUUUUGAAUUACUUUGUUUGGAGGGCAGUUUGGUCCUUGUAGAAGCUGAAACACUGUUCACACUAUUCACCUUUCCUCCGGCUUUCUAUAUAAAAGAUGAAAUUUCUUUGAUUGAAAUCCCAAUCAUUCUCUAGUCGCAUAAUGAACUAAAACGUAAUCAUUCUACUUUAGUCUACAGUAUUUGAUUUCCAAGAAAUGUUCUCUCUCCCACUCCCUGGGCCCACACGCUACUGUGUAUUGCAUUGCGUUUAUGUUUGAGCAACUGAGAAAAUUAGGUGAUCUCCAAUUUCUAGUUUCAAAACGAUGGUUGAGAAAAAAAGAUAAUGAUAAUACUACCCUUUUGUCAAGUGUCUUCAUCUUAUAAGGUGUAAGAUGAAAGACUAAUAUUAUUUUGAUGUAAGCUUGAAUACUGUCAAAACCAUGUAACCAUUAAAACUUAAAAGAGUACUAGUGAAGCAAAAUUAUACAUAUUCUAAAAUCCAACACAAAAAGCACUGUUCAUUAACAGUGAAAGGCCUGUAUUAUAGAUAUGUUUUUUUAUAUCAAAUUUUAAAUUAUCGGUGUUAAUAAAAUUGAUUUGGUUUUCCAGAUCAUAAUUUUUAAGCAACAAAAUCAACCUGCAAAUUCAGUUCGGAUAUGAAUGCUUCUGCUUAUUUAGAUUGUUGAAUUGAUCUUUACCUUUACUAGAUUUUAUUUUUCAAUGUUGUUUGCUACAUCAUCGUGUUACUUUAUUAUUAAUAAUACUAAUUUGGUUUUGUAGAUUAAGAUUUUUAAGCGAGAAUCAAGUUCAAAAUUCAAUUGAGGUACGAGUCUUUUUGCUUAUUUGGGCUGUUGAAUUCAUCCUUGCCUUUACUGCAAUUUUUCUUUUUUACUGUUGUUUGGUACAUUCUGGUAUUGAUUUCAUUGCAAUUUUUCUCUUUGCCUUCAGUUUUUAUUGAAUUUAUUGACGUUUUGUGCACGAGUUAAUCUAUUUGUUAUAUGUCGUGGUUAAAGGUUUGGUUUCUUUCUUUUUUUCUUUUUAUCAAUCCUCUCUAUUUACAAUUUAAGUUGAAUUACCAUGGGAUGUACAACAAAGGAGGCUAAAAAGCAGUCUAGACCCAGGAAAAGGCCAUAAACAAAGCAAGGAAAAAGACCAGUGGUUAAAAAGGCCAAGUAGUCCGAAAGAGACAUAUAAACAAGACAUAAAGCGCAACUUUUGUCCAAAUCCUAGACAUCCCACUAACCCAAAAAAAUAAAAAAUGACAGCUAGCUACUCUAACGUGAUCAACACCUUUGCUUCAUUUUCCACGUUGGUGGGUUACCCACCCUAAGCCCCUCAAAUAAUUAACAAAUCAUUCAAACGUGUUUUAUGUUUGUGGGUUAUCCUGAACCUCUCACUAAUUAACAAAUAAACCAGUAUGCUUUCACAGUGCAUCUACACUGUUUGGUUCCAGGAAGUGAGAAAACUGAAAGUGGAACAAUGCUUUUACAUCAGCUCCCACUAUAUCGUUAACUUUUAGCCCUCAAGUCUUAAUUAAGUUUUUUCUUUGUUAAGUUUUGUCUGCAUAAAAACAAAGUCACCAGCUCCCACUACAUCAUUAACUUUUGACACCUACAAUUAUUUUGAAUUAAUAGCACAUAAUAAAGCUACUUUAAUUUUCUUCUUUGGGAUUAGUUUAAUGAUGCAUGCAUGAUGCAUCCUUGGUAUUUUCUUCUCUGGGAUUACUUUAAUUAUGCAGGCAUCCUUGGUUGCAUUGCCUUAAAAAUGCAUGCAAUCCCGGACACGUAACAAAGUUGCUCACUUUGAUGAGCAAUUUUCCCUAAAAAAAAAUUGAGUGCAUCACAGUCACAGAUCAUGGCCCAUAAAUGAUAAAAACAGUUACGAGAAACUACAAAAGCAAGUGCCCUUUAGUUUACGUCUAAAUGUGUAUGUAAAAGUUUAAAGAUGUGAACAAAAGUUUAAAAUUAUGUGGAAAAGUCUAAAGAUGCGUAAAAAAAAAAAGUAUAAAAGUAUAUGUAAAAGUCUAAAGCUACGUAAAAGUAAAGACUUUUGAACACCUAUGUUUUAUGUUGUUAUGUAAAAUCUCUAUAAAAGAGAUGUCUAUGUACGUUUGUAAUCAAUCACAUUCCAAUAAUAAGAAAAUAAAAUAUUUUUGUUAUUGAAAGAAACUUGCUGCUAAUAGUCUAAAAAACAUUCAGAGGAAGCAGCAUGCUGUUAGAAAAUUAGUCUGAAAGUUUUUCUUACUAUUAGUCUUCCGAUUACAAAAACAUUCUCUUUUUUUAUUGUUGGAAUGGGAUCGAUUACAAACAUACAAUGUUAUCAUUUGUUGUUCGAACUAGAACAAUGUUUCUCCAUAUGUUUUGCAUGUGAAUAGGCCAUUAUAAGAUCAGUACCCCAAUUUUUUGUGUAAAAGGACAAUCUAAUGUUUUCAAAUCUUUUAUCUGCAACUACUGAUGUGAAUCAAGAACUAGGAUGACUGCCAAGGGAGAAUAUCAUAUAUAACCAUCUGUGUAUGUCAAUGACAAAGUGUUUGCUAAUUUUUUUUUUUUUGUAUAAAAUGUAUAAAUCUAGACAUUGGCCUGUAAAAAAUAUUUGCUACAUUAUCUAUACAACCUUCAUUAUCUUUGUGUAAAUAGUAUUAGCAGACACUCACAUAUAUUUCCAUGUAUAAAAUGAAACGAAGACCAGUCAAUAUGUUACUGCUGGUCUUAAUAAUUGAAAGUUGAUUGUUUGCUAGUGCUCUGGUAAAUGGGAAGCCACAAUCAUUCUACUUUAGUCUAGUAAGUAUUGAUUGAUUACAAUCAGACAAAUUGGAAAACUGUUUGGGCUCAAAAUAAUAGUUUGGCCGAGGGUAGGAUCAUUCUCGGCCCGGGAGGCCGUGCGGCGAAAGGGCCAUGGAUCGUUCAGCUCAUGGGCUUCCAAGCCUAGGUCGGUUAAAUCAGAACGCAAGACGAGUCCUAGUACAACAGGGAGUCUCGACGGGAUCAGUAAUCCAGAAAGUGAAUCCGGCUCAGUUAAAGACUAGGUUUGUAGUCCUAGUGAAGAUAGGACUGGUCGAGGUGAUGUUGAUCCGGAGAGGGAAACCUAGUCCGAGUAGGAUUUUAGCUCGGACUCAAGGUCCAGUGCUAUAAAUAAGGGAAGCUGUGCAUCAAGGAGGGCCCUGCAAAUCAAUACAAAAUUGCCCUGCGCAAAUUCUCACAACUUGGGAUUUUUCUUUUUCCUUUUUCGCUGACACAUCUUCCGUUGGCAUCAACAGCACUGUGGAAGCAACCGGUGAUAUCUUAAGUCGGCAUAGAUAGCUCUGUCACCAUAGAAUUAGUCGGUCUCGCAGUAACUUCUGUUGGCAUUAACAACACUGCGGCGAGAACGAUUGGUUACCUAUCCGAGUCUCGGUCGAGAAGGAUUUCUGAAUCCUUAUUAGCCGAGGUCAUCUCAUCAGCCUCCUCGGUGAAGUGAGGUGUUACAAGUGAUUACAUUCGGCACGUUGAAAGCCGAAUUUGAUAUUGAACUUCGUAAAAAUAGUAACCUUGUCUUCAGGUUCGAGAACCCAAGAGGCCGAGACGUGUUCCUUUCUCGGCCGCAAUCGCAAGACGCAGAAGUCAGCCGCACCCAACGCAACAUCAACAAAUUUACUCCUCGGCCGAGCUCGGCAUACGAGUUGGCACGCCCCGCAAUCACCGAAGGACGUAGUUAGCUUAUAGAUUACUCGGCCUGCGCGCCACGUAGGCUUGGUAGUUUCUAGGGUCAACAUUUUGGCACGCCCAGUGGGACCCAGUGCUAAACUACGAAGUUCAUGCCAAUUGAAACACGAUCGGUAAAAAAGAAAACAGCUAUGGGAAAGUCGACAGCCGAUUUGCUGAAUCAAAGCACGGGACAAAGUGUGCCACAGACGCAGAAUCCCCUUAGCGCUGUGACACCUGAGUCCACAAGCGCGACCCGCCGAGAGAGAGAAGUUACUCUCGGCGGUCAGCUCCGCGGUCUAGAAAUCCCUAACAGAAACACCUGCGUUUUCACUGAAGGGAUAGUCGAGCAGACGUUUAGUCGAGGCAUUAACAAGCUGCAUGACGUGAUACUCAGUUCCAAUGAGUGACAAACUAGAUUGCUCGAAAUGCUGGUUAGUAAAGUCAGUGAAAGCAGGCCUUUCGAUCUUCUCCAGCACUUACCACCAGGAAACAAUCCGUUACCAAUUGUACCAGCCGAGCCUAUUCCUGCUCGGCUCAAACCAAUUAACUUGGAAAAAGGAGGAGGGUCGAAUAGUAGGUCAGACGGAACCGACCAGAGAGUCGAGGCAACACCUGUCGAUAUGACCGAAGUCCAGCGGAUGAUCGACUCGGCCAUGAAGAAAGGGCCGAAGUUUCCUAAGUUUAUUCAUCCGUACCCAUCUUACGUGGAAACGUUCGGAUACCCGAAGGGUUUCAAAAUCCCAGAUUUCAGCCUUUUUGCCGGUGAAUCAUCCCUGUCUUCGUUGGAGCAUGUGGCUCGUUUCACCGCGCAAUGCGGGGAUGUUAAUAGUGAUUUCCAUAAGUUACGGCUGUUCAAUUUCUCAUUGACCGGAUCAACAUUUGCCUGGUAUAUCAAUCUUCCUCCUAAUUCCGUCCAAAACUGGGAGGAGUUGGUCGAGAAAUUCCACGAGCAGUUUUAUCGGCCAGGGAUUGAGAUGUCAGUUUCUUCAUUAGCACGGAUGGCUCAAGCGUCUGAUGAGUCACCAAUGGAUUAUCUUACCAGGUUCAAAUCAGCCAGGAAUUGGUGCCGAGUGCCUUUACCUGAGGUCGAAUUUGUCAGGCUUGCUUUGAACGGCCUCGAUGUCGAAUACAAAAAGAAAUUAUUGGGGGAAAACUUUCGGGAUAUGUACGAAUUAGCCCAACAUGUCGAACAAUAUGAUUAUUUGCUCCGCGAGGAAAAGACUUCGAAAGCUCCAACUCGGGGGACGAUUUACAAGAAUCCUACUGUCAAUUAUGCAUCAACUGAGGAUGAAUAUGUUAGUGUGGAUGCAGCUGAGAUAGUGAUAGAUAAGCUAUACGUUUGCAAGGCAUUGACUCAGGUUGAUUCUAGGGAAGUCAAAAGCCGCUCGGCCACGGAAGGAACAUUGAAACCGUCAAAAGUUUACAAUUUUGAUAUUACAAAGGCUGACGUAAUUUUUGACCAACUGUUAUCAGCAAGAAUCAUCAAGCUUCGGCCUGGUCACAACAUUCCCAAGGCCGAAGAGCUUAAAGGAAAGGUGUAUUGCAAGUACCACAAUUCAAGCAAACAUACGACAAACAAUUGCGUCGUGUUUCGCGACAACGUGCAAAGCUGAAUUGAUAACGGCAAACUGAAAUUUCCAGAGAAGAAGAUGAGUGUUAAUACUGAUCCGUUCCCCACGGCAACAGUAAAUAUGGUCGAUACGUACCUACUUAAGGACAAAAGGAAAGGAAAGGCUGAAGUUGUUGCAACGCAAUGCUGGCGAAAUCAGAAUUCUCGGCCACGGUUCAUGGUCGAUUUUCGUGCAAACGAACCACCUACAGCUUUAACAGGACCCGCUAUUGUCAAACCUAUGAUGGAUUAUAGCACCGAUGAAGACAGUGGGACGGCGGUUUUGUGCAGAAAAUGUAGAGCAAAGGUCGACAGUGAGCCAGGGGAGAAGCCCUCUUCGCUUGUAACAGAACGACCUAUGGACGCAACCCGGCAAAAGGUAACUAACGUAGGCCAACAUCAAAGGGUUUUUGAUAGGCUCGGUCCUAAAGUACGGAUGGAAGAGACACCCCCGGUCAAGCGGCGCCUCGAUUUUGAUGCUUCAUUCUAUGACGAUGAUUACUAUAAACGUAAUUCUAGCAGUUCAAAAUCAUCGCGGAGCCAAAAAACCUUCAAACCUCCCGAGCCUAGAGAUCAACGUUGGUAUACAUAUCAUUCUUCGAAAGGUGUUUACACCGCGUUGUCCAAAUCCCAGAAACGUCGGCAUCAAAGGAUAGAUUGCAUGGCCCGCCGACGGGCCGCCCAAGAAACUUCGGUCCUUAAAUGGCGGCCGAAGGACACAAUUGCUACUGAUGAUGAAUGACCACCUCCAGCCAUUAUGACAGAGUUGGUUCAAGGGAAACGGUUGGUCGACCAAGAUGUUGAAACCACGUUUGAAGAGGCCGAUAAACGGAUCAAACUUCUUUUUCGACCAGGGGAGAUGAAGGCACGCCUUGAACAUUUCAGGCAAGAGGCCGAAAGCAAAUUAGCCCCGCCGGCUAUACAAGAACCUUUGAUUAAGAUUCGACGGAAUUUGCACCCCCCGUUCCUUGGGGAGUCUUUGGAAUAUAUGCGCGAAUUCCAUAAGAAACAUUCGGCCAAUGAUCUGUAUGGCUUGCCAAAGGCAUGCCAGGACACCAUUGAUCUAGUCCUGACUUGUCCUGAUGCCGAGCGAAUCAUCCAGAAAACCUCAGACACAGGGCUGAAAGCAAGGUUCCAGCACAUACGAGAAGCUCGUGUCCUUGGAUUUGAAGUCGACCCAUACACUGAUAUUGAUGCAGCCGACCUUCCUUUCUCAAUGGAGGACCUUCAGUAUUUACGAUAUCACUUCGAAGUAUUCUCGGCGAUUUCGCUCUUCGGCCUUACGACCGAUGAAAUAGCACGUGUUGCACGUCUGGAUGCUUAUCUCGACACUAGGGAUGCCCGGCUACGUUACCAGGAGCAGGUCCUGACCCCGAGCACACUGUCGAUCUCAACCUCACAUGAGGUAGGUACACAGACCCAACAAGUUGCCAAAGCAGCACCGCAGGAUCAAACCAUCGAAGAAGGAACAGAAGAGUCUUGUUGUCCAACCUUGACAGCAACAGAGUUCGUGGUUGCCGACCAGACAAGAGAUGAGGAUAGUGAGGAGGGUCCUAACCCGAUGGGCUCGUCAGUCUUGGAUAACAUGGAAAUCAGUAUGGUCCAUGUGUUACCCGCUGAUUUUCAAUCAAGCACGACCCAACCGAAUUUCCUCGAUGGUGACGUAGUCGCUGAAGAAGCCGGCCAUGUUGAUUUUGUAUCUGUUGCUGAAGUUGAAUCAACGACAAAAGCUGACAGUCUAAAGGCGGCUUUGGCCGAAUUGUUUCCUCGUUCAUCAUCGGCCAAACUUCGCCAUUUAAAGCCUUUGUAUGUGACGGCCCAUAUCGAGGGGUAUCCAGUUUCUAAAGUUUUCGUCGACUGUGGAACUACCGUCAAUAUCAUGCCUCUAAACAUCAUGAAGGCCUUACGUCGCUCGACUGACGAGCUUAUUCUGUCAGGGAGCACAGUGAGUAGUUUUGUCGGCGAAAAAUCCCAAACCAAAGGUGUACUUCCGUUAACUGUAAACAUUACCGGUCGCACUCACAUGACCGCCUUUUUCAUGGUUGAUUCCAAAACCGAGUAUAAUGCACUGCUCGGUCGAGACUGGAUUCAUCAAACCAGUUGUAUUCCUUCAUCAUUGUAUCAAGUGCUUGUCUUUUGGGAUGGCAACUCGGUCACUGUUCACCCGGCCGAUAGCCAGCCCUUUGAAGCUAAAAUGAUCCAAGCACGGUAUUAUGAUGACCACGUCGACUACAUUACAUUGCAAGGCUUCAAUGAAGAAGGACGGCCGACUCGGAUUUCGGUUCAGAAAGCUAUCGAGGUUGGUGCCGAGACUGUCCAGCAGGAUUCGGCGAGACUCGGAUUAGCCAAUUUCCUCCCCGAAGCUGAUGUUUGACACCGAUCGGGAAACACGUAGGGCCGCGGUUUCAUCUACUAUGGAACGACUGCUGGCCCAUUGGUAUACUAUAUCCAAACAACCAAAUUCGGGCGUUAACCUCGUCGAGUUCCUUACCGAAGGAGAUAAUGGUCCUGUCUUGUCUCUUGAUAAAAUUCAAGCCGCCCCGGCCGAACUCGAAGAUCAUCGGCCCCAAGUUAAGGACCCCUUGGAAGAGAUUAAUAUUGGGAUGGCCGAUGAUCCACGGCCUUUGUUUGUUAGUGUGUUACUUCCCCAACAAAUGAAUGACGGGUUUCGUGCCUUGCUUACGGAGUUCAAAGAUUGUUUUGCUUGGAGCUAUCAUGAAAUGCCCAACUUAGAGCGUACUCUGGUCGAGCAUGAAUUACAUAUUAAGCCCGGAUGCAAACCUUUCCGUCAGCCACCUCGUCGAUUCUCGACCGAAGUGCAACUCGGCAUCAAAGACGAAUUGGUUCGGCUUUUGAAAGCCAGGUUCAUUCGGACAGCUCGAUAUGUUGAAUGGUUGGCAAAUAUCGUGCCUGUUUUAAAGAAAAAUGGUGCACUACGCAUUUGUAUCGAUUUCAGAAAUCUGAAUCUGGCAACUCCCAAAUAUGAGUAUCCAAUGUCGAUUUCAGACCUGUUAAUCGAUGCUGCGGCAAAUCAUGCAAUCUUAUCCUUUAUGGAUGGACACGCCGGAUACAACCAAAUAUUCAUUGCUGAAGCCGAUGUGCACAAAACUGCUUUCCGUUGCCCGGGGGCACUCGGGACUUACGAAUGGGUUGUUAUGCCGUUCAGCCUCAAGAAUGUCGACGCCACAUACCAGCGGGCGAUGAAUACCAUCUUCCAUGAUUUAAUUGGAACCAUCAUCGAAGUUUACAUCGACGAUGUUGUCAUCAAAUCUAAACGCCGACAGACACAUCUGGACGAUCUCCGACAAGCUUUCCUCCGCAUGUGUCGGCACAACCUCAAGAUGAAUCCUGCCAAGUGUGCCUUCGGCGUAUCGGCCGGAAAUUUUCUUGGCUUCCUCGUGCAUCACCGUGGGAUUGAAGUCGAUGAGAAUAAGGCCCGCGCAAUCAUCAAUGCCCCACCCCCAACUACGAAGAAACAACUCCAAUCCUUACUAGGACAGAUCAAUUUCCUCCGCCGAUUUAUUGCCGACUCAACAGGUAAAAUGAAAGCGUUCUCCACGCUUUUGAAACUCAAGGACUCCGAUAAAUUUGUGUGGAACGAUGAGCAUCAGGCGGCGUUUACGCAAAUCAAAGUCUCCCUCACGAACCCACAUGUCCUGGUUCCUCCUCGGCGCGGUAAGCCUCUUAAGCUCUACAUCUCGGCGGCCGAAGAGUCCAUCGGCUGCCUCCUUGCGUAAGACAACGACGCCGGACGAGAGCAUGCUAUUUUUUAUCUCAGCCGCAAUCUCAGUCAACCGGAGAUCAAUUAUCCAGCCGUCGAAAAGCUGUGCCUGGCCGUGUUUUUUGCCGCUUCCAAGCUUCGACAUUAUAUGCUCCCAUCAGUCACCCAAGUUAUUGCUCAGACCGACGUCAUCCGCUACAUGCUCACCCGACCAAUCGUAAAAGGCCGCAUUGGGAAAUGGACCAUGGCACUGUCCGAAUUUAGCUUGCAGUACGUAGCCAGAAAGCUAUCAAGGGCCAGGCACUGGCUGAUUUCCUUGCUCAACAUCCCUCCCCAUACGGUUUUGGGGGCAACGACGUUGAAAUCGGCAUUGUUCAGACGCGCGACAACCACUGGACGAUGUACUUUGACGACUCCAGUACGUCAUCUUCGACGGGCGUGGGAAUUGUCAUUCAAUCCCCGAACCACGAUCACUGGUUAUUUUCGCUUAAGUUGGAUUUCGAAUGCACCAACAAUCAGGCCGAAUAUGAAGCCCUAAUCGUCGGCCUUGGAAUUCUUCAUGACUUGCGGGCGACCCGCGCCCUAACAUUAUCAAGUUGAUUAUAUAGCGAUCUGACAAAUAUUGUGAGUGUAGAAAAUAUGUAGUAAUUAAUGAAAGAAGUCUAAACACACCAUAAUCAUUUAUAUAUAAUGAAUUAGUACAAUAUUUUACACUUUAGUACCACAUAGAGUUCCUAUGAGGUUCAAAUUUUUCACUAUCUUCAUCAUCUCUAUGUGUAGAAUGAGUGUAUUGUGAAGAGUAGUUAUCAAAUGAUAAAUCCCCAAAAUAGUUUUGCAUGUAAUUGUUAAUAUGCCACCCAUAUGGAUCCGAGAUUGGUUGAGGUUGUCCAUAAGAAAAAACAUUUGAAGAUUGAGGCUGGGAUUGUUUCCAUGAGUCGCUCGAUUCCAUCCCAACAGGAAUGGGAUAUGAAGGGUAGGGAAAUGGUUGGUUAUGAGUAUAACCAUAGUUACUACUUCCCAAUCCAACAGAGUCUGAAGUUCUAGAUAACGAGUCAUCUUCUUGACUUGACAAAAUCCCCUUGCCUCUUUCUCUGCGAGUAUAGUCCUUCCCUAUGGCACCAAUUCCUGGUCCUGCCCGCCUACUGCCAUGGUCAUCAUCCUGUGUUGCAUGCGUGAAGUUUGCCUCACCAGUGAAGGGGCUCAUAUAUCCGGGAGAUGGUGGUCCAUAAUAGUUUCCAUAUCCACCACCACUACCUCCAACUCCACUACCUCCAGCUCCAUUAUGUCCUUCAUCAUUCCCACCUCCGGUGGUAGGUGAGUCUCCUGAUCUUGUACUAGAGCUAUCAUUAGUAUGAGCACGAUGUUGUGGUUGUGUAGGAUUGGAGAAGGUGGAAUUCCAGUGUUUCUUGGUCUUGGGUGCAAAAGUUCUUCGAAAGAGUUAGAGCUGCUAGAUCCCACAUCCUCCUCUAAUACUCUUUCUACAUUUAUCCCUUCAUUACGUGCUUCUUCAGCAACUCUGGGAGCUGGGUUGCCUUCAUCAUCAUCUAAAUGAAGAGGUCUAAUCCAUUGAAAAAAUUGGUUACCCUCCGUAUCAUCAUCUUCACCAACAAUAUCAAACACAUCUAGUGGGUCACCACGGUCGACAUGAUCGAUUUCUGCUUCCUUAUCUCGAAUUUGAAGCUUCAUGUUGUAGUAGCAAUAAACUAAUUUUUCCAAGCUACUAUGAGCCAACUUAUUUCUUUGCUUUGUGUGUAUGAGUGCAAAUGUGCUCCAAUUUCUUUCACAAGCAGAUGAGGAAGCUGUUUGUGAUAAUACUUUUAUUGCUAACUUUCUCACAGUUGGUGCAUCGGUCUCAUACAUGAUCCACCAUUCAGCUGCAAUGAAAAAUAAUGUUGAUAAGCCUAAUAACUCCAACAAAUUCUAUCAUAAACUUAUAGUGAAAUAUGUUUAUACUCACUAGGAGACAUAUUUGUUCGAGCAGCAACUGAUGUUGGUUCUCCAAAUGUUCUUCUUGCAUCUUUAAACCAUGUUAGCUGAAUACAAUAAAUUAUGUUAGUUUAAUCCAACAAAGUAAUUAUUAUAAAUUAAGUAAUUGUGUACCUCAUUUCCAAAUUGGCCAACUGCUGGUGAUGCAGGGUCUAAUUUAGAGUAUACAUUAUGUACAGCACGUAUAAGGUCACCAUCAUCUCCAACACCGGGUUUGUAUUGGUAUCGGGGAUUCAAAUAAUAUGCUGUUCAAAGAAACACAUACUCUAAUAAGAGAAAUAAUACUUAUGCAACUAAAGAAAUGAAUUGCAAAUUAUGACAUAAUUUAUACCUGUUGCAUGCAAAUCAUGGUAUAAUGUUUUAUACCAUCGGUCUUCAAUUAUUUUUAUGACCCACCUUGCACCAUGUUUUCUUUCCAAUUCAUCCUUCACUACACGCAUCAACUCAUAUACUGCCCCCAUAGUAGGAUACACUUCUGUGUCAACGAUCCGUAAAACUUUGUAAAGAGGUUCAAACACUUGACACACAUGUUCUGUUUGAGUCCAAAAAGCAUGAUCAAGCACUAUACUUUCCACCAUACGACCUGUAUUUGAGCGGCUGAAAUUGUGGUUGGCCCAAUCGUCACUAGUGAAUAGUUGCUUCAACCCUGCUUUCUUCUUGAGUAGGCUGUUUAAUGCAAUAUAGUUGGUGGCGAAUCGAGUGGUAGCUGGACGAAUAAUUUCUCCUCUGCAAAAUUCAAGCAUCUUUGCCAACAACCAACCGUGAUUGUAAAUAUAAUUUGUGAUCGUUCUAGCUCUUUUGACCAUAGUAGCAACAGUCUCUCUCUUCCCCAUUGCCUCAAACAUGAGAUCAAUACAAUGUGCUGCACAUGAUGUCCAAAACACAUUAUGAUGCUUCAUUAACUUUUUUCCAGCUUUGACAAAUGCAGAACCGUUGUCGGUCACGACUUGGACAACAUUAUGCUCUCCCACCUCCAUGAUUACAUCCCUCAAUAAUUUGUAAAUAUACUUGUAAUUCUUUAUAUGGUCUGAAGCAUCAACAGACUUCAAAAAAAUUGUCUUUCCCUUGGAGUAUACCAUGAAGUUGAUGAUAGAUAAUCUGGUCGGGCCGGUCCAUCCGUCACACAUGAUUGUGCAACCAUUAGUUUCCCACUUUGACCUCAACUUGUUAACAUACUCGCCAAUGUCUUUAUACUCCAUAUCCAAAUAUUUGUUUCUUAUCUCAUAGGGAGUGGGAGGUUGUACUCCAACACCGGCCUGUUGACAUCCCACUACCAUAUUUUUGAAAUGAUGUGAUGAUGCCUUCGCAGCAGGGACAUUUUCAUAGAUAAAGAACUUGCUAAUUAGACGCCUCAUUCCCUCCUUCACAUUACCUCCCUUGAAAUAACUCCAAACACUCUUUUGACGUGCGUUGGAUGACUUAUAUAAACUUGGGGCUAUUGGUGGUGUUGGUUGUGAUUCUCUAAGACUGCCUCCCCGUCUCAUUUGUGAACCACCACUUGUCCCGGAACCUUGUCCCCUAUUAGGAAUUUUAUGAAGGUGUUCUCUUUCCCAUGCUGACUGUUUGGAGGCACGUAAUGCUUGUUUCAAACUGCGUCGUUCUUCAGGUCCCAUGUCAUCAUUACAUUCGUCCUCAUCGUCAUCAUCAUCACUGUCAACCGCUUGGCCAUAGAUUUCUCCCCGUAGCCCAGCUCGAAUAUUUUCCAUUCCCUGUGUUAUCUUUUCCUUCUGCUGUUUUUUAUUUUUUAAUAAUGUGCUGAUGAAUGCCUUCACUUCUGGGGGGACAUUAUCGCAUCGUUGGACAUUUUUUGAUGGAUCUAAUCCACCAAGAUGAUACUUCAGUCGUGUCACUCCGCCACUCUUCAUUACCCGACCACAAUAUUUGCAAAUUGUGCCAUGUUUGUUUCCGUCUAUUGGGUCUCCAUAUUCCCAAGCUGGAUCACGUUUACUGGACAUCUUAAACGUACCUAUAUUUAUUUUUCAUGAAAAUUAGACAAUUAUUUUUUGAUAAAAAUAAGAGAACCUAAAUAAUAAAGUUAUUCUACAGAAGAAUUAAAUACAAAGUAAAGAAAAUGAUUGUAAAAAUUUAAGUAAUUAUACAAAUAAUAUGGAAUAAUAAAACCUAAUAUUAAUGAAUAAUAAUCCAAUUUGAUAAUAAUUCAAUUUAAUGAAUAAUAAUCCAAUUUGAUAAAAACAAAAUCCUAAUAUAAAACAUGGUGAUGAAUAAUAAUCCAAUUUGAUAAAAACAAAAUCCUAAUAUAAAACAUGGUGAUGAAUAAUAAUCCAAUUUGAUAAUAAUCCAAUUUAAUGAAUAAUCCACCAAUUUGAUAAUAAUCCAAUUUAAUGAAUAAUCCACCAAUUUGAUAAAAAAAAAUAAUCCUAAUAUAAAACAUGGUGAUGAAUAAUAAUCCAAUUUGAUAAUAAUAAUCCAAUUUGAUAAUAAUCCAAUUUGAUAAUAAUCCAAUGUAAUGAAUAAUCCACCAAUUUGAUAAAAAAAAAUCCUAAUAUAAAACAUGGUGAUGAAUAAUAAUCCAAUUUAAUGAAUAAUAAUCCAAUUUGAUAAUAAUCCAAUUUAAUGAAUAAUCCACCAAUUUGAUAAAAAAAAUAAUCCUAAAUAUAAAACAUGGUGAUGAAUAAUAAUCCAAUUUGAUAAUAAUCCAAUUUAAUGAAUAAUCCACCAAUUUGAUAAAAAAAAUAAUCCUAAUAUAAAACAUGGUGAUGAAUAAUAAUCCAAUUUGAUAAUAAUCCAAUUUAAUGAAUAAUCCACCAAUUUGAUAAAAAAAAUAAUCCUAAUAUAAAACAUGGUGAUGAAUAAUAAUCCAAUUUGAUAAUAAUAAUCCAAUUUAAUGAAUAAUCCACCAAUUUGAUAAAAAAAAAUAAUCCUAAUAUAAAACAUGGUGAUUAAUAAUAAUCCAAUUUAAUGAAUAAUAAUCCAAUUUGAUAAUAAUCCAAUUUAAUGAAUAAUCCACCAAUUUGAUAAAAAAAUUUCCUAAUAUAAAAGAAUAAUAAUCCAAUUUGAUAAUAAAAAAACCUAAUAUUAAUGAAUAAUAAUCCAAUUUGAUAAUAAAAAAAUCUAAUAUUAAAGAAUAAUAAUCCAAUUUGAUAAUAAAAAAAACCUAAUAUUAAUGAAUAAUAAUCCAAUUUGAUAAUGAAAAUGGUAAGGAAAAUAAAAUAAUAAAUAAUAUUAAACAUAUUAAAAUUAUCCUAGGGAAUAAUUAUACAACAUUACUUAAUUACUUAAAACAAUUAACAUUAACAUUACUUAAUUACUUACAAAAAUUAACAUGCAAGUAUUAAUUACUUAAAAAGAUUAACAUACGAGUCCACACAAAUUUAUUUGUUGUUGUAUAAAUUACAAUAAUAUAAAUUUAAGUUUGUAAACUUACCUUAAAUAUGGAAGCCUUUGUGUUCAAGCUUUGGAAUGGAUUUGGAAUGAUUUUGAAAAUGGUAAGGAAAAUAAAAUAAUAAAUAACAUUAAACAUAUUAAAAUUAUCCUAGGGAAUAAUUAUACAACAUUACUUAAUUACUUAAAACAAUUAACAUUAACAUUACUUAAUUACUUACAAAAAUUAACAUGCAAGUAUUAAUUACUUAAAAAAAUUAACAUACGAGUCCACACAAAUUUAUUUGUUGUUGUAUAAAUUACAAUAAUAUAAAUUUAAGUUUGUAAACUUACCUUAAAUAUGGAAGCCUUUGUGUUCAACCUUUGGAAAGGAUCUGGAAUGGUUUUGAAAAUGGUAUGGGAAGAAGAAGAAACGAAAUUUCUGUGAAUGCUUCUGAUACUCCACUGGGUGAAAGAAUGUAAGUAUAUAACAGACAUUGACACUGUUUUGCAUGUGAAAGACUCUUACUGACUGUCACACGAUUUCAUUAUGAAAGCAGUAUUAUUUGUUGUCCAUGUUCUGAAAUUGCAAAAAGUUAUUUGGAUCAUUGGAUCAGAGAGCUAGACAUAGGUUUGGAAUGAUUUGGUUUUGAAUAAUUUGGAGCAUUGGAUGCUUUUUUUUUCUUACACGCCACCACUCAGACAGUAAAAAAGAGUGAGGAACUCACACUCCACCACCACACACACUUCGAGACCCCCCACACCACACCACACACGCACACCACACACGGAGCUCAGUCUCUCUCUCGAUCAUUCAUUUCCCACUACCAUAUUCUCGAAUCCUCUCAAUCUCUCUCUUCUCUCUUCUCUCUCUCUGAGGUCUGAGCCUUCGUUCUCAUUGAGAACUUCUCAGUCUUCUCCCUCCCUUACCCCUUCUCCAGUUCUUCCACACACACACAGAGACAUCAUCUCUCGAAUCUCGAUCCAUCUCUCGAUCCUUCUCGUCCGUGUCUCCGUGUCUCCCUCUGCUCCUCCCAUAUCACCCGCCCUAAACCCAGCCGUCAACACCACUCGAUAACCGCCUUCUAAACCACCUUGAUCCAUGGAGAUCGACCGGAAAUCAUCGUAGUCCCAGCCGUCGACACCACUGAGGAGCACGACGUUGUCCCAGCCGUCUUGGAUUCGUGAGGAAGACGUGUUCCCAGGCUCCUACUUCUCUUCUUCUCGGCUUUUACUUUAAAUUUUUGUACAGAUUUCAAUUUUUCUGCAUGUUGCACCUUUGUUGUACUGAAAUCGAUUUUAGGGAUUUAGGAAUUAGGGUUUCUAUUUUUGUACAUAUUGCGAUUUUUCUGCAUGUUGCUUGAUUUUUGUACUGAAAUCGAUUUUAGGGAUUUAGGAAUUAGGGAUUCAGUUCAUUUGCUUUGAAUUCGAAUUUGGGGAUUUAGGGAUUCGGUUAAUUUGCUCCGGCGUUCUUCUCGGCUUGUAAAUUACAAUUUUUGUACAAAUUGCGAUUUUUCUGCAUGUUGAUUUUUGUACUGAAAUCGAUUUUAGGGAUUCCUGUAUUGUAGAUUCAGUUCAUUUGCUUUGAAUUAGAAUUUUGGGAUUUAGGGGUUUGGAUUAUUUGCUCCGGCUGUGUUCUCCGAUGAGUCCAUACCAAAUAUCGCGAUAGUUUCGAAAAUAUCGCGAUAUUAUCGAUAUUAUCGAUAAUAUCGCGAUAUUCUGCCGAAAACAAGUUGGAUAGUUAAUAAAAUAUCGGGGUCCCAAAAAAACGAUAAUAUCGGCGAUAUUUCACCGAUAUUAUCGAUAUUUUCUUCACUGGAUGUGACUCAAAUUUUGAAUAUUCGAGCUGCCUACGUAUCCCUCCAAAGAAGAGAUCAAGUCGUAACGUAGUUCAAAUACAUACAUAUUUUUUUUUGGUACUUUCUUUUUGUGCCGUUUGCAAUUUUAACUCAUGCAGGCAAGGAGUGUUGGUGUCGUUUGCAGUUUUAACUCGUGCAGACAAUGAGCAUUUGGUGCCGUGUUGCAGUUUCAACUCGUGCAGGCAAGGAGCGUUGGUGUUGCCUUUUAUGCUCGUGCACACCAGGAGCGUUUGGUGCCGUGUUGCAGUUUCAGCUCGUGCAGGCAAGGAGCUUCGUGUCCUACAGUUUAGGCUCGUGCGGACAAGGAGCUUUUGGUUCGUGCAGUUUAGGCUCGUGCGAACAAGGAGCAUUGUGUCUUGCAGUUUAGGCUCUUACAGACAAGGAGCUUUGGUGAAUUUGUCAAGCAAUUUUGGAGAGGCGUUCCUCACAAUCUUCAUAGCAAGGAGCCUUGACCGAGUGAUUGAAGAGGUCUUCGGGUAAGAAAUCACGCAUCGUGAUGGGGAUGGGUGAUCUAUAUGUCGAAAUUUCAUCAUCUUCAACACGUUCACGUUGCUUUGAAGGUUGACAAGAGAUGCUUUGCCCCCUUUCCGAUUGGCGGACUUGUGGAGGAGACGUAUGCUUCUUGUGCAAUUUCUUAUGAGUGACUUGAGUCCAUCCUUCAACUUUGCUUGUCUUGGAGGAUGCCCCCAAUGGUUGAGGUGAAAACUUUGAGUCGGAAGAGCCAAAAGUGAUGGUGGUAUAGUUUGACUUCACCACAUCAUCAAGAUCUAGCUCGAUGAUUCCUUUCUAAGCCAGCUUCAUGAUGAGAUCUUUCAGCACGAAGCAUUUUUCUGUCGGAUGACUGAUAAAGCGGUGGAAUUUACAGUAUCUUGGACUGUCGGUACGAUUCAUCUCUUCCGGCCGUCUGCACUCAGGUAAACCGAUCACCUUCUUGUCCAACAGGUCAUCCAGCAUGGCAACCACAUCAGAGUCGGGGAAUGGAUAAGUCUUCUCCUCAAGCUCCUUCAAAGUGCGUCUACGCAUCUCUUGAUCACGAAAAGCUUCGACUUGAAUCGCCUUGCCUCGUGUAGAGAUUUUGACGGGAGAUGUGUUGACCGUCAUCGCUUCCUUGGUGGGUUUCCAUGCAGCCUUCUCCACCUUUGUCUCAAGAACUUUGUCGUUCUUGUAGUCGGCGAUCGGUUCUUUCUUCCUAUGAUAGGCGAUGCUCAACUCCAUGUCAUGGGCGCGAGUGGCCAAUUCCUCGAAAGUCCGUGGUUUAAUGCCUUGGAUGAUGUAUUGCAAACCCCAUUGCAUGCCUUGGAUGCACAUCUCGAUUGAAGAGGUUUUCGAGAGCCUGUCUUUACAGUCGAGGCUUAGAGUGCGCCAUCUGUUGAUGUAGUCAAUGAUUGGCUCGUCCUUCCACUGCUUUGUGCUCGUUAGCUCUAGCAUGCUCACAGUGCGGCGUGUGCUGUAGAAGCGAUUAAGGAAUUCCCGUUCUAAUUGCUCCCAGCUGUUGAUGGACUCAGGCUCUAGGUCCGUGUACCACUCAAAGGCGUUUCCUUUCAGCGAGCGCACAAAUUGCUUGGCGAGGUAGUCUCCAUCUGUCCCCGUGUUGUUGCAAGUUUCGACGAAAUGUGCAACGUGCUGCUUUGGGUUUCCUUUUCCAUCAAACUGCAUGAACUUUGGUGGUUGAUAACCCCUUGGCAUCCUUAGGGCAUCAAUCUUCUUGGAAUAGGGCUUCGAGUAGAACAAGGAGGUAUGUGAGCUCCCUUCGUACUGUGCCUUGAUGGUGUUGGUGAUCAUCUCCUGCAGUUGCUGGAUAGAAAGAGAUCCCAUGAGUGCCGCUGCUUGGUCUGGCUCCGGCUUCCCAUCGAUUUUCUUCACCAGGGGUUCUUCGUCCCCGCCAGCUCCUCCCUUUAGUGGAUCAUCCUCUGGGUCGGGUUUAUCGCCGUCAUGCGCCUCCAGUCGGUUGACUAGUGCUGCAAUUUGCAAGUCUUUUUCUUCCACAGUUCGGGUUAGCCUUGCGAUUGCUUCAUUCAUUUGAGCCAGCUGCUCAUCGAUUGAAGUUGCUCCAAUGGUCAUGACUUGCAUGGCUGAACUGUCGCUUGAAUCGGCAUCAGAGAGCAUGGAUUCGGAGUAUUUCCUUGGGCUUUCCCCCCUUGGUGCCCUUAGUAGGCUAAGGUGAUCAAAGGCUCGUGCCUUGGGUGCUUUUGUUCCCUUGGCAGAGUUGAUGCAGAGGUGAAAGAGGCAGCAGAAGUAGAUCUUGCCAUGCUUCGAGUCGUGAUGCCCAAAGUGACACCAGUUGCGACGAGGACGCUUUUGUUCUUUGCGUCGGUUGCGGGAACAGUUUGAGCCUUCCUUGAUGCCAUUAAUUUUGGAAGUGCGCUUGAAUUUCUUGAACGGAGAAAGAGAUGAGAGGCAGAGAUGGUCCCACUGGGCGUGCCAAUUUGUGAACACGGAAAAUUCCUGAAACGAAAGAGACAAGAACAACGCGCACAAACAAAUAUUUGUGUUUGAUAAUUUUGGGUUACAAUCUCUCUCUAUUUUGAUCCUCUGAUUCGAUCUCCAUAAGGUGUGUAUUUGUGGAUGUGUGAUUGAUCCAAAGGGCCGUUGGGCUUGAUCUAAGGAUGAACGUUCUUCAAGGGCCGUGGACUUGAUCUUGAAGGUGGAUUUGAGCGGAUCUUCAAGGAGCCGUUGGGGCUUGAUCUUGAGUAACGGUGAUGAACGGAUCUUCAAGGGCUUUUGGGCUUAAUCUUGAAGAAACAGUGAUGAACUGAUCUUCAAGGGCUUUUGGGCUUAAUCUUGAAGAACGGUUGGAUGUGUGUGGAUUUGUCGACGUUUGUUGAUCCAAAGGGCCGUUGGGGCUUGAGCUUGGAUGAACGGAUGAUGAACGAUGGUGCUUUCUUCAAAGGCCGUCGGGGCUUGAUCUUGAAUUGGUGGAUGGUUGAUCCAAGGGACCGUUGGGGCUUGAUCUUGGAAGAACGAUGAACGAAGAACGAGGAACACUUUCUUCAAGGGCUGUCGGGGCUUGAUCUUGAAUUGGUGGAUGAUUGUUGAUCCAAAGGGCCGUUGGGGCUUGAUCUUAGGAUGAACGAUGAACGAAGAACGCUUUCUUGAUUCUUCGGGAACCUGGAUGCUUGAGAGCUUCGAAGUUUCAGAGCUUCAGGGCUUCAAGAGUUUUGCCUAAUGAUUUUGGUUCCCCCCAAAUGAAUGAAAUGGGCUUGUAUUUAUAGAAAUUUCCAAGGCCUAAUUUUGAAUAUAAUAUUCCAGAUGAAAUAAGUCGUUUCUGCCAGGUGUUGACACGUGUCCUAUUUGAUGACUUUUCCAACUCAUUUCAAUUUUCGUUGAGUCACACGCUACGUGUAAAAUUUAUGUAAUACAUGAGCGUUGAAACUUUGAUUUAUCGGUCAACAUUUAUUUACCGAAAUUUCGAUGUCUACAGCAGUACCUCGACAAUCCCAAUGGUAAACAUGAUCGCAAGACGAGAGUUCACGCCACAAACUAUGUCAUGUAUCAGAGCGAGUUAUACCGAAAAGGCGAAGAUGGUUUGUUAUUGCUAUGCCUCGGCCCCCAAGAGAGUGUUCGGGCGAUUACAGAAGUCCAUGAAGGGAUAUGCGGAGCUCAUCAAUCCGGACGGAAAAUGCGAUGACUACUUCGACGGCACGGCUAUUUUUGGCCAAGGAUACUAAAGGAUUGUAUCGAGUUUGCACGAGGAUGUGUACAAUGCCAAAUCCACGGGCCUAUACAAAGGGUCCUGGCCGAAUCUUUGCAUUCGGUCAUAAAGCCAUGGCCGUUUCGAGGAUGGGCCAUGGACGUAAUCGGCAAAAUCACGCCGUCUUCUGGAGCCGCUAAGCACGCAUGGGUAAUAGUCGCAACUGAUUACUUUACUAAGUGGGUCGAAGCGAAAUCAUACGCCGAACUAACAUCUAAAGAAGUUUGCGAUUUCAUGGAGGAACACAUCGUGACCAGAUUUGUCGUACCAGAAACGAUCAUAACUGACAAUGGAACAAUCUUCACAGCCGAGAGGUUUAAAGAGUAUACGGCAAAUUUAAAAAUUCGGCUCGAACAGUCUACACCGUAUUAUCCACAGGCGAAUGGGCAGGCCGAGGCAAGUAAUAAAGUGUUGAUCGGCAUCCUCGAAAAAAUGAUAAAAGAAAGGCCUGACAUGUGGCAUUUGAAGUUGAACGAGGCAUUAUGGGCAUAUCGAACAUCGCCCCGAUCGGCGACUGCGACAACCCCGUAUGCAUUAACCUACGGACACGAUGUAAUGUUACCAGUCGAGUUAAGCAUAAAUUCGUUGCGAUUAAUCGAACAAAGUAGUUUGUUUAGCGCCGAAUAUAAUCAGUCCAUGAGACAGGAACUCGAAGAUUUGGAAGAAGUACGACUUGACGCUUAUAACUUACUGGUGGCACAAAAACGGAUUGCCGAGCGAGCCUAUAAUCAAAAGGUACGACAGAAAACAUUCGGCGAGGGUGAAUUAGUGUGGCAAACGGUGUUACCCGUAGGACUAAAAGACCCUAGAUUCGGCAAGUGGUCGCCAAAUUGGGAAGGACCGUUCGUUGUGCAUAAAGUAUACGGAAAAUGGGCGUAUCAUCUUAAAGACCGGACCAGUUUGGUUCACAGAUUGCCGAUCAACGGGAAGUUUUUAAAAAAAUACUACCCGGUCACGUGGGAAAUGCGGGAAUAGAAAAUUAAUUUAUUAAUGUGCAAGACGACUGAAUUGAUCGUUUUUACAUCCAAGUGCCUUUAAGGCGAAGAGGGUAGGAGGGUGCCGAGCAGGGCCUUCAACUCCAACCACCGCACCUCGGCCAUGAUAACUUCAGCUUGCCGAUUCCUCUUGUCCAGCUUCAACCGCUCGACCCGUUUUGUGGUCGCCGCGUACUCAGUUAGGCAAUCCUUUCCGCCCGAUUCGAAGUCUUUAGCAAGCUCGGAAGCAAUGGCCGACCGACGUUUUGCUAGUUCGGCCAUCUGACGGUCGAGCUCGGCUAAGGCGUCUCCUUUUGCCCUUAGAUCGUCGAUUUUCGGACGGAGAGUGUCUUGAACGGUCGUGGUAGCUUACAGGUCGUGUUCGGCCUUUAGAGCGGUCUGGAAGAUACUAAAUGUCUCCCGAACCCGUUCCAAGGCAGACGAUGCCCGAACGAUGGCAUCUCCGCUCAGGCGACCGUCGGCUCCAAGGUCGUUCAGACAUACGCCAAGCAGAUCAAGACCGUUGUGCUUGAGUACUUGCGACGUUGAAAGCGACAAGACUUCUCGCAACUGAGUCAGAGCGCUUGGAUCGGCAGCUUCAGUCGUAGCGGCCGAAGGACCGGACUCUGCAGUUGUGCUGGAGAUGAGGGCUUUGAAUUCGACCUCCCACGAAGCCUGCACAUACAAAUCAGGUUAAGCUUAAAAGAAGUCAUGACAAGAAUAGCAAGAAGGUUUCAUUUUUUAACCUGCCGAGAGGAGACCUCGGCCAUAUCUCCAGGAUUGUUGCUCGAACCUAAAGAACUCAAUGGCCGAGCCCAGUGUCUCAGGGUGCUUCUCAGUUCACGCGGCCGAUGGAGGUUAUCUACGUUUGAUGGCCACUGAGGCGACCAAGAAAUAUAGAUAACGCCCUUCGGUGCGUAGAAUUUUCGAUGAAAAGAGUGUACAGGCACCUGACAUUUAGUAUUUUCUUCGUUUAGAAUUCUAAAGUAGAAAAGCAAUCAAGGAAAGACGGUAGAAGGUACUUACGAAGGCCGAAGUAACCUCCUGCGGAGGAAUGUAGAAGCCCUGGUCUUGAGGAUGAACGGGCGACUCCGCCGUUGCCUCGGGUUCCUCGGCCGGUCGUUUGCCACGGUCGGCUAUGGAGGGGCCGACCGGGACAGCCGCUUCGGAUGAGGCAGGGACAUCCUGGUCCUGAGAAUGAGCGAGGGGUUCGGCCACAGCUGUUGGUUCCUCGAUCGGACGCUUGCCACGAUCAGCCGUGGAGGGGCCGGCUGGAACCACCAUCUCGGAGAUCGGAGGAGGUUGUCGGCGAGUAUGAGGACGAUUUUGCAAGUGGGACCUCAUCGCUCCCCUCACUCUCUUCCAGAAUGAAGACCGAGGGCUUUGGAUUUUUAGGGGAAGUUCCCUCGGUCACAGAAACCGCCUUUUUCGGAACAGGUGCCUCCUCGACAGAGGGAGGCACAACUGGUGUACCAGCCCCAGAAACAGGCCGCGUUUGAACUGUUUCUACGGCCGGAGCUGGCGGUUUCUCGACCAAGGGUUGACCGACAACAGGAGAAUGGGAAACACUGGGAGUCGUCGCCCCUAUAGUUUGACUGGAGAUGAUGUGGAUCUCCCGUGCGCCCUUCUUUGCCAGCUGUUUUACCCGCUUGGCAGGCGGCGGAGGUUCGACGGCCGGCUCGGCCUCUUGGCGAGGCCGUUUGGUCAGCGCGGCCCGACCAGCAGUUUUGUCCUUCUUAGUUACGACCAAUUUUUUCUCGGCCGUAGCCACGGCAACUGCCUCCGUUUUUCUCAAAGGGUGACUACCUGAGAAGAUAAAAGCAAUUCAGUAAAGCAAAUCAAUAUGCAAAGUUAAAAAAAAAAAAAAAAAAAAUUGAACAGGUACCUGGAGCUUGGGGGGCCGGGGCCUUCUUAGGUCGAUCACUGAAGAGUUUCCCCAACACAUCUUCGACCGGAGCACCAAAGAACUCCUGGGUGUAAUUUUCCCACCAAUCACCGAAGGUGUCAGUGCAAAGGGUUUCUGGGGUGGCCGGUCGAAGGCGGAAUUUUUGGCAGUGCUCUUGGAACUCCCUCGCAGCAGUUUUACAUUCCUUCUCCGAGGAACGAGGUUCACGUCCACGGCUUAGGACUGUUCGGGAGGAGAGAAGGGGAACCAAGCAGCCCUGGAGGUAGCCGAGCUGUCGAGCAAGGAAGUUCGGGUGGUACACUUCCCAACCCGAUCGUUUUCCAUCGCAGCCGAGAGGGAGGUCGCGAGUGAGCACAAACGACCCCCAGGUCUGAUGAAGAUCGGCAUCCUCCCCCGCGCCCCACAUGGAGGUAGGCAGUCUGAUGGAGGAAGGAUAGUCUCGACGACGACAUAUCAGGAAUUCGUCGUUCGAAAGGUCAUCAAGAGCGAAGAGGUACCGAAAUACCUCUUCGGCUUGAUGAUGAGGUGUUGGUCGGGAGGCCAGCUGAGGUCCAAGCGCCUCUGUUGGCGAGAAGUCAGCUAUAGCCGGCCGAAGGGAAACGAAGUAAACUUGUAACAAGAGUUGGAAGACCCAGAGGGGACCAUUCUGGUGUGGGUCAAUCUUGUGGAGGGUCGCCUCAGCCAUGCAACGGAAGAGAUGGGCGAGAAUGUUGGAGCUCAGUGCCAGGACGUGACCACUAGCCAGGGCCUCGGCUACCGGCAUGUUCUCGACCAAGCAUUUGUUUGACUUGGUACAACAAAUGUACUUGUUGUACCAAUAGAAGAGGAACGCUUCAUGUUCCCCUUCUCGCAGGUCCUCUUCUCCUCGGCCGGCGAAAUGGAGAUAGAGGGUGUUGUAAUUGAAGAAGUUCUUGUGGAGCUUCUGAAUGUCUUCUUUCGACGGGAUUUGACCUUCACGAUUCAACGUCUCGAAAGCCUGUCGAUCAAAAAGCGUCUUCAGGUCGAUAUUCGACGGGUACCCAGAGAGGGCCGCGUCGAUAGGGAUCCCAGUUGCCGAAGUGCCCAGAAUGGCGGUAACAUCAAGAAUGGUGGGACCGAUGGGCCCAAAAUAAUAGUUUAGGCCGAUGGUAGGAUCAUUCUCGGCCUGGGAGGCCGUACGGCGAAAGGGCCAUGGAUCGUUCAGCUCAAGGGCUUCCAAGCCUAGGUCGGUUAAAUCAGAACGCAAGACGAGUCCUAGUACAACAGGGAGUCUUGACGGGAUCAGUAAUCCAGAAAGUGAAUCCGGCUCAGUUAAAGACUAGGUUCGUAGUCCUAGUGAAGAUAGGACUGGUUGAGGUGAUGUUGAUCCGAAGAGGGAAACCUAGUCCGAGUAGGAUUUUAGCUCGGACUCAAGGUCCAGUGCUAUAAAUAAGGGAAGCUGUGCAUCAAGGAGGGCCCUGCAAAUCAAUACAAAAUUGCCCUGCGCAAAUUCUCACAACUUGUGAUUUUUCUUUUUCCUUUUUCGCUGACACAUCUUCCGUUGGCAUCAACAGCACUGUGGAAGCAACCGGUGAUAUCUUAAGUCGGCAUAGAUAGCUCUGUCACCGUAGAAUCAGUCGGUCUCGCAGUAUCUUCCAUUGGCAUCAACAGCACUGCGGCGAGAACGAUUGGUUACCUAUCCGAGUCUCGGUCGAGAAGGAUUUCUGAAUCCUUAUUGGCCGAGGUCAUCUCAUCAGCCUCCUCGGCGAAGUGAGGUGUUACAAGUGAUUACAUUCGGCACGUUAAAAGUCGAAUUUGAUAUUGAACUUCGUAAAAAUAGUUCAAUAUCAAAUUCAGCUUUCAACAACGUGCCGAAUUUGAUAUUGAACUAUUUUUACGAAGUUCAAUAUCAAAUUCGGCUUUUAACGUGCCGAAUGUAAUCACUUGUAACACCUCACUUCGCCGAGGAGGCUGAUGAGAUGACCUCGGCCGAGACGUGUUCCUUUCUCGACCGCAAUCGCAAGACGCAGAAGUCAACCGCGCACCCAACGCAACAUCAACAAAUUUACUCCUCGGUCGAGCUCGGCCGACGAGUUGGCACGCCCCGCAAUCACCGAAGGACGUAGUUAGCUUAUAGAUUACUCGGCCUGCGCGCCACGUAGGCUUGGUAGUUUCUAGGGUCAACAAAAAACACAAUCACUCUACUUUAGUCUAGUAAAGUAUUAGCUGGUGCUCUAGUAAAGCUUGUGUCGUGUGGACCCGUAAGAAAACGCAAUUACAACAACCAUGGGAUUGGUUUGUGUCUUCCACUAAUGGCGGGAUUUGAUUUCUUGAGAUUUGGAUCCUCUCCUGAGCCCAAUGAGAGGAUCCUCCUGACGAACACACGUGGGCUGUUGGAUUUUUAUCCAACAGCUACAAACAAAUGGAUCUUUUUAGAGUUAUAAUAAUUAUAAUCGUUGGAUGAAAAUCCAACUUUCCACAUGUGUUGGUCAGAGGAUCCUCUCCUGGGACUCGAGAGAGGAUCCAAAUCCGAUUUCCAGCACAUGUUCUCUCCCAUUCGCUGGGCCCACACACUGCUAUAUACCCGCCAUUUGCGUAUUUGUACACCCAGCGCUGGACGUUUCUACACCCAGCACUUCCAAAUAGAAGUAACCAGUCCAAUUUUAGUGGUAUCUUCACUACUAAUUUAUGCAUCGAUCCUCACAUUUAUUGCGUAAUUAAUAACUAAUAAUUAUAUAUUGUAUUGUUGUCUAUGUUUGAGCAGUUGAGAAAAUUAAUCUACUUCAACUUCUGAAGUUUUCUUUCAGCUGAGAAAAUAUAGAACUACUCCAAUUUCUAGUUUCAAAAUGAGGGUUGAGAAAUAAAAACAGAUAAUAAUAAUGGGGCAAAAGACUGUUUACUACCUUCAUGUUUCGUGGUUUUCAAUAUUUAGUAUAUCAAGUUUUUUUCAUCCCAAAAUCAUACCUAAAGUGUAAAUUUUGGGACAAUCUCAUACAUCCAUUAGUCAAAUUGUUAAGUCUCCCGUUAACUGUGACGUGGCGCCCAUGUGGACAAUGACUGGGCGCCACGUGGAAAUUAAAAAUUAAAAAAAAAACUCAAAAUUUCAAAAUUCAAAACCACCUUCCCAUUCCUCCUCUACAACACCAAUUCUUCUUCCAAUCCGCCAACCCCACCACCACCAUGUCCCAAAAAUCCAAAUCACGAUGCAAAAACGCAAAACUCAAACAAAGCCCAGCACCUCCAAUCUAAAACCCGACCCCUCAAAACCCUAACCCACAUCGCCGUUAAGUACAUCGGCGCCGUAGCCUCAGUCUAGGCCUCCUACGCCGCCAUGGCCAAGCUCAUCAACACGAACGUCUUCGACUUCGCCAACGCCUUUCCCUUCAUCUUCCCCCACCUUCUCUAAAUUUACCAUUUCUCCAGUCCUCCAUGGAACGCUCUCAGGCGUGAAUCGUCACUACCAGAAGAGGGUUGACGCGGAAGCACGAAUAAGACUUCAGAGAUGAAAUGAUCGAGGGAGAACUGGAUCGGAAAGUUCAAGCCGUCGUCGAAACGCGGGACGAUCGCCCAGAUCUCGUCGGUGGGUUUGCGAGCAGGUCCGGAUUCUGGAGUCCAUAUUCUCAUCCGCGUAACCCGACCGCCCAUGGCCUCGCUCUCACCGCCAAAGAAGGUAGCAUGCUCGCUGUUGUCUUUUAUUUUGGCCAGUGUUCUUGGAGUUAACUGUUUGUUCAUCUUUAAUCUGAGCGAAAUCUUGUGAGAUUGUUUGGGGCUUAGGUUUUUUUUGGUAAUUUGUAUGCAGAUGAGCUUGUGGACAUUGUGGUGGACUGUGGAGCAGUUCCAGCGCUUGUUAAGCAUCUGUAGGUGCCUCCGCCGGCCACAGACAACCGAAAAAGCCCGAUCCCGUACGAGCACGAGGUCGAGAAGAUGGUGGAGGGAUGGAGGGCGAGGGAAGACGAAAAGGUUAUGGGUGUGUGUGGAUGAGGGAGAAGACGACUGUUUUUUGUUUGUUUUUUUUUUAAUUAUUUUUUUAAUAUUAAAGUGGCCCUAUAUUGACACGUGGCGCCCAGUAAUUGUUCGUGUAGGCGCCACGUCAUCAGUUAACAGAAAUUCUAACGGAAAACUUAACGGAUGUAUGAGACUGUCCCAAAAUUAAGACUUUAGGUAUGACUCUGGGACAAAAAAAACUUCAUGUAUUAAAUGUUGAAAACCACGAAACUUUAGAUUAGUAAACAGAGUUUAACCCAUAAUAUUGCUACUCCUUUGCCAAAUGUCUUCAUCUCAUAAGGUGUAAGAUGAACAGCUAAGAUUGCUUUGAUGUAAAGCUUGAAUACUGCCAAAACUAUGUAACCAUUAGAAGACUACCAAUAACAUUGUAUGCUAAAAGUAAAGGGAUGAUGAGAUAUCAUAACGUUCAUUUAUGUUGAUAAUAUAAUCUACACUUGGAGCUGCCAAGAAUUAAUAAAUGAAUUUAAAUUGGUUUCUAGAAUCUACAGUAAAAGUAGAAGGGAUGAUGAGAUAUUAUUAUUAUUAUAGAUUGGUUUCUAGAAUUUUAGUUUAUUUAUCAGAUGCUAUGAAAUUAGCCUGAGGGCCAUUAUCCAAAUGGAAGCAAGCACUCUAAAGGCUCUCCAUUUUUAAUGUCCUUCUCAGAGGGCAUAGCCUAAAAAUAAAAGUUUUAGGGUAAAUUUAAAAAAACUCUAAUAAUCUCACACAAUUCGAAUACUUUUUUCUCCAUCUCACAACUUUCUCUUGGAGUCAAAAUCUCAUGCCCCCUAAGUAUUGGAAUUCUUGAUUCUCAUGAGUAUAAUUAUUGAUUUUGAGUGGACUCCGCCUAUUUUUUCAUUCUUAAAAUGUUAUUAAAUGAUCAAACUGCAAAAUCAUUUUAGAAAUAAUCCAAUUCCUUUUUUUUUUCACUCCCAUUCCACUUUUUUUUUUUUUUUUUGGAGAAUUGCAUAAUAGCAUAAUCAGGGCCGAAGCCAGAGAAGUACAGAAAGCCACCACUGGCCAACACGAAAAAAUCUCAAAUAUACCAUUCCGAAUAAAUCUCAAAUUUAAAUUUUGGUUCUCCAAUUAAUUAAACAAAAUUAUAACUAACUUUUUCACAAGUUCUGAAUGGUUACAAUCAGACAAUGAGUAAUGAGGAAAUUUAAGGCUAAAACCCUUUAUUAUGGGAACAAAGAAAGUCAUAAAUUGGGUCCAUUUGGAAUGAGGAAAUUUCCAACCUCAAUCCAAUAUCGAUUACAAUCAGACAAUGAGAAUCCAAGGGGAUCCUCAUCCGUACUUUUUAAUACUUUAUUCACUGAUCCUUACAAAUUAUAUUAUUAAAUUUAGUAUACUAUGAAAUUUCUUUUAUUGUAUCCCCAUCAUUCUACUUUAGUCUAGUGGCAUAAUAAAGUAAAACAUAAUCAUCCACUUUAAGAUAAAUUUUUAGUUGUGACAGAAAUACAAGUGGUACACCACGUGUUUUAAUAGGAGUGGCAAGAAAUAUUAUUUUCUAAGUUAUUAACUUUUUAACACACAUAUCCCACCAUUUAUAUAGAGACACAUGGUGUAUUACCUGUGUACCAGUCAUACUGAAAAACCUCUCUCAUACUUUAAGGGAUUUGAUUUCCUUCUCUCUCCCACUUCCUGGGUCCACACGCUACUAUAUAUUGUAUUGUAGUUUAUGUUUAAGCAACUAAGAAAAUUAGAUCUACUCCAAUUUCUAGUUUCGGGUUGAGAAAAAAACAAAUAAUGAUAAUACUACUCUUUUUGUAAGUGUCUUCAUCUCAUAAGGUGUAAGAUGAAAUACUAAUAUUACUUUAAUGUAAGCUUGAUUAUUGCCAAAACUAUAUAAUCGUUGAAAGAGUACUAGUGAAGCAACAUUUUACACUAAAAGUAAAGGGGGAUGAUGAGAUAUCAUACUGUCCAUUUAUGUUGAUGAUAUAAUCUACACCAGUGAAGAAAAUAUCGAUAAUAUCGGCGAAAUAUCGUCGAUAUUAUCGUUUUUUUUGGACCCCGAUAUUUUAUUAACUAUCCAACUUGUUUUCAGCAGAAUAUCGCGAUAUUAUCGAUAAUAUCGCGAUAUUUUCGAAACUAUCGCGAUAUUUUCGAAACUAUCGCGAUAUUUGGUAUGGACUCAUCGGAGAACACAGCCGGAGCAAAUAAUCUGAACCCCUAAAUCCCCAAAUUCUAAUUCAAAGCAAAUGAACUGAAUCUACAAUACAGGAAUCCCUAAAAUCGAUUUCAGUACAAAAAUCAACAUGCAGAAAAAAUCGCAAUUUGUACAAAAAUUGUAAUUUACAAGCCGAGAAGAACGCCGGAGCAAAUUAACCGAAUCCCUAAAUCCCCAAAUUCGAAUUCAAAGCAGAUGAACUGAAUCCCUAAUUCCUAAAUCCCUAAAAUCGAUUUCAGUACAAAAAUCAAGCAACAUGCAGAAAAAUCGCAAUCUGUACAAAAAUAGAAACCCUAAUUCCUAAAUCCCUAAAAUCGAUUUCAGUACAACAAAGGUGCAACAUGCACAAAAAUUGAAAUCUGUACAAAAAAAUUAAAGUAAAAGCCGAGAAGAAGAGAAGUAGGAGCCUGGGAACAUCGUCUUCCUCACGAAUCCAAGACGGCUGGGACAACGUCGUGCUCCUCAGUGGUGUCGACGGCUGGGACUACGAUGAUUUCCGGUCGAUCUCCAUGGAUCAAGGUGGUUUAGAAGGCGGUUAUCGAGUGGUGUCGACGGCUGGGUUUAGGGCGGGUGAGAUGGGAGGAGCAGAGGGAGACACGGAGACACGGACAAGGAGGAUCGAGAUUCGAGAGAUGAUGUCUCUGUGUGUGUGGAAGAACUGGAGAAGGGGGAAGGGAGGGAGAAGAUUGAGAAGUUCUCUCAGUGAGAACGAAGGCUCAGACCUCAGAGAGAGAGAAUAGAGAAGAGAGAGAUUGAGAGGAUUCGAGAAUAUGGUAGUGGGAAAUGAAUGAUCGAGAGAGAGACUGAGCUCCGUGUGUGGUGUGCGUGUGUGGUGUGGUGUGGGGGGUCUCGAAGUGUGUGUGUGGUGGAGUGUGAGUUCUUCACUCUUUUUGACUGUCUGAGUGGUGGCGUGUAAGAAAAAAAAAGCAUCCAAUGCUCCAAAUUAUUCAAAACCAAAUCAUUCCAAACCUAUGUCUAGCUCUCUGAUCCAAUGAUCCAAAUAACUUUUUGCAAUUUCAGAACAUGGACAACAAAUAAUACUGCUUUCAUAAUGAAAUCGUGUGACAGUCAGUAAGAGUCUUUCACAUGCAAAAACAGUGUCAAUGUCUGUUAUAUACUUACAUUCUUUCACCCAGUGGAGUAUCAGAAGCAUUCACAGAAAUUUCGUUUCUUCUUCUUCCCAUACCAUUUUCAAAACCAUUCCAGAUCCUUUCCAAAGGUUGAACACAAAGGCUUCCAUAUUUAAGGUAAGUUUACAAACUUAAAUUUAUAUUAUUGUAAUUUAUACAACAACAAAUAAAUUUGUGUGGACUCGUAUGUUAAUUUUUUUAAGUAAUUAAUAUUUGCAUGUUAAUUUUUGUAAGUAAUUAAGUAAUGUUAAUGUUAAUUGUUUUAAGUAAUUAAGUAAUGUUGUAUAAUUAUUCCCUAGGAUAAUUUUAAUAUGUUUAAUGUUAUUUAUUAUUUUAUUUUCCUUACCAUUUUCAAAAUCAUUCCAGAUCCAUUCCAAAGCUUGAACACAAAGGCUUCCAUAUUUAAGGUAAGUUUACAAACUUAAAUUUAUAUUAUUGUAAUUUAUACAACAACAAAUAAAUUUGUGUGGACUCGUAUGUUAAUCUUUUUAAGUAAUUAAUACUUGCAUGUUAAUUUUUGUAAGUAAUUAAGUAAUGUUAAUGUUAAUUGUUUUAAGUAAUUAAGUAAUGUUGUAUAAUUAUUCCCUAGGAUAAUUUUAAUAUGUUUAAUAUUAUUUAUUAUUUUAUUUCCCUUACCAUUUUCAUUAUCAAAUUGGAUUAUUAUUCAUUAAUAUUAGGUUUUUUUAUUAUCAAAUUGGAUUAUUAUUCUUUAAUAUUAGAUUUUUUUUUUAUUAUCAAAUUGGAUUAUUAUUCAUUAAUAUUAGGUUUUUUAUUAUCAAAUUGGAUUAUUAUUCUUUUAUAUUAGGAAAUUUUUUUAUCAAAUUGGUGGAUUAUUCAUUAAAUUGGAUUAUUAUCAAAUUGGAUUAUUAUUAUCAAAUUGGAUUAUUAUUCAUCACCAUGUUUUAUAUUAGGAUUAUUUUUUUAUCAAAUUGGUGGAUUAUUCAUUAAAUUGGAUUAUUAUCAAAUUGGAUUAUUAUUAUCAAAUUGGAUUAUUAUUCAUCACCAUGUUUUAUAUUAGGAUUUUUUUUUUUAUCAAAUUGGUGGAUUGUUCAUUAAAUUGGAUUAUUAUCAAAUUGGAUUAUUAUUCAUCACCAUGUUUUAUAUUAGGAUUAUUUUUUUUUAUCAAAUUGGUGGAUUAUUCAUUAAAUUGGAUUAUUAUCAAAUUGGAUUAUUAUUCAUCACCAUGUUUUAUAUUAGGAUUUUUUUUUAUCAAAUUGGUGGAUUAUUCAUUAAAUUGGAUUAUUAUCAAAUUAGAUUAUUAUUCAUUAAAUUGGAUUAUUAUUCAUCACCAUGUUUUAUAUUAGGAUUAUUUUUUUAUCAAAUUGGUGGAUUAUUCAUUAAAUUGGAUUAUUAUCAAAUUGGAUUAUUAUCAAAUUGGAUUAUUAUUAUCAAAUUGGAUUAUUAUUCAUCACCAUGUUUUAUAUUAGGAUUUUUUUUAUCAAAUUGGUGGAUUAUUCAUUAAAUUGGAUUAUUAUCAAAUUGGUGGAUUAUUCAUUAAAUCGGAUUAUUAUCAAAUUGGAUUAUUAUUCAUCACCAUGUUUUAUAUUAGGAUUUUUUUUAUCAAAUUGGAUUAUUAUUCAUUAAAUUGAAUUAUUAUCAAAUUGGAUUAUUAUUCAUUAAUAUUAGGUUUUAUUAUUCCAUAUUAUUUGUAUAAUUACUUAAAUUUUUACAAUCAUUUUCUUGACUUUGUAUUUAAUUCUUCUGUAGAAUAACUUUAUUAUUUAGGUUCUCUUAUUUUUAUCAAAAAAUAAUUGUCUAAUUUUCAUGAAAAAUAGAUAUAGGUACGUUUAAGAUGUCCAGUAAACGUGAUCCAGCUUGGGAAUAUGAAGACCCAAUAGACGGAAACAAACAUGGCACAAUUAGCAAAUAUUGUGGUCGGGUAAUGAAGAGUGGCGGAGUGACACGACUGAAGUAUCAUCUUAGUGGAUUAGAUCCAUCAAAAAAUGUCCAACGAUGCGAUAAUGUCCCCCCAGAAGUGAAGGCAUUCAUCAGCACAUUAUUAAAAAAAAAAAACAGCAGAAGGAAAAGAUAACACAGGGAAUGGAAAAUAUUCGAGCUGGGCUACGGGGAGAAGUCUAUGGCCAAGCGGUUGACAGUGAUGAUGAUGACGAUGAGGACGAAUGUAAUGAUGACAUGGGACCUGAAGAACGACGCAGUUUGAAACAAGCAUUACGUGCCUCCAAACAGUCAGCAUGGGAAAGAGAACACCUUCAUAAAAUUCCUAAUAGGGGACAAGGUUCCGGGACAAGUGGUGGUGCACAAAUGAGACGGGGAGGCAGUCUUAGAGAAUCACAACCAACACCACCAAUAGCCCCAAGUUUAUAUAUAAGUCAUCCAACGCACGUCAAAAGAGUGUUUGGAGUUAUUUCAAGGGAGGUAAUGUGAAGGAGGGAAUGGGGCGUCUAAUUAGCAAGUUCUUUAUCUAUGAAAAUGUCCCUGCUGCGAAGGCAUCAUCACAUCAUUUCAAAAAUAUGGUAGUGGGAUGUCAACAGGCCGGUGUUGGAGUACAACCUCCCACUCCCUAUGAGAUAAGAAACAAAUAUUUGGAUAUGGAGUAUAAAGACAUUGGCGAGUAUGUUAACAAGUUGAGGUCAAAGUGGGAAACUAAUGGUUGCACAAUCAUGUGUGACGGAUGGACCGGCCCGACCAGAUUAUCUAUCAUCAACUUCAUGGUAUAUACUCCAAGGGAAAGACAAUUUUUUUUAAGUCUGUUGAUGCUUCAGACCAUAUAAAGAAUUACAAGUAUAUUUACAAAUUAUUGAGGGAUGUAAUCAUGGAGGUGGGAGAGCAUAAUGUUGUCCAAGUCGUGACCGACAACGGUUCUGCAUUUGUCAAAGCUGGAAAAAAGUUAAUGAAGCAUCAUAAUGUGUUUUGGACAUCAUGUGCAGCACAUUGUAUUGAUCUCAUGUUUGAGGCAAUGGGGAAGAGAGAGAAUGUUGCUACUGUGGUCAAAAGAGCUAGAACGAUCACAAAUUAUAUUUACAAUCACGGUUGGUUGUUGGCAAAGAUGCGUGAAUUUUGCAAGAGGAGAAAUUAUUCGUCCAGCUACCACUCGAUUCGCCACCAACUAUAUUGCAUUAAACAACCUACUCAAGAAGAAAGCAGGGUUGAAGCAACUAUUCACUAGUGACGAUUGGGCCAACCACAAUUUCAGCCGCUCAAAUACAGGUCGUAUGGUGGAAAGUAUAGUGCUUGAUCAUGCUUUUUGGACUCAAACAGAACAUGUGUGUCAAGUGUUUGAACCUCUUUACAAAGUUUUACGGAUCGUUGACACAGAAGUGUAUCCUACUAUGGGGGCAGUAUAUGAGUUGAUGCGUGUAGUGAAGGAUGAAUUGGAAAGAAAACAUGGUGCAAGGUGGGUCAUAAAAAUAAUUGAAGACCGAUAGUAUAAAACAUUAUACCACGAUUUGCAUGCAGCAGGUAUAAAUUAUGUCAUAAUUUGCAAUUCAUUUCUUUAGUUGCAUAAGUAUUAUUUCUCUUUAUUAGAGUAUGUGUUUCUUUGAACAGCAUAUUAUUUGAAUCCCCGAUACCAAUACAGACCCGGUGUUGGAGAUGAUGGUGACCUUAUACGUGUUGUACAUAAUGUAUACUCUAAAUUAGACCCUGCAUCACCAGCAGUUGGCCAAUUUGGAAAUGAGGUACACAAUUACUUAAUUUAUAAUAAUUACUUUGUUGGAUUAAACUAACACAAUUUAUUGUAUUCAGCUAACAUGGUUUAAAAAUGCAAGAAGAACAUUUGGAGAACCAACAUCAGUUGCUGCUCGAACAAAUAUGUCUCCUAGUGAGUAUAAACAUAUUUCACUAUAAGUUUAUAAUAGAAUUUUUGCACCCAAGACCAAGAAACACUGGAAUUCCACCUUCUUCCAAUCCUACACAACCACAACAUCGUGCUCAUACUAAUGAUAGCUCUAGUACAAGAUCAGGAGACUCACCUACCACCGGAGGUGGGAAUGAUGAAGGACAUAGUGGAGCUGGAGGUAGUGGAGUUGGAGGUAGUGGUGGUGGAUAUGGAAACUAUUAUGGACCACCACCUCCCGGAUAUAUGAGCCCCUUCACUGGUGAGGCAAACUUCACGCAUGCAACACAGGAUGAUGACCAUGGCAGUAGGCGGGCAGGACCAGGAAUUGGUGCCAUAGGGAAGGACUAUACUCGCAGAGAAAGAGGCAAGGGGAUUUUUGUCAAGUCAAGAAGAUGACUCGUUAUCUAGAACUUCAGACUCUGUUGGAUUGGGAAGUAGUAACUAUGGUUAUACUCAUAACCAACCAUUUCCCUACCCUUCAUAUCCCAUUCCUGUUGGGAUAGAAUCGAGCGACUCAUGGAAACAAUCCCAGCCUCAAUCUUCAAAUGAUUUUUCUUAUGGACAACCUCAACAAAUCUCGGAUCCAUAUGGGUGGCAUAUUAACAAUUACAUGCAAAACUAUUUUGAGGAUUUAUCAUUUGAUAACUACUUUUCAUAAUACACUCAUUCUACACAUAGAGAUGAUGAAGAUAGUGAAAAAUUUGAACCUCAUAGGAACUCUCUGUGGUACUAAAGUGUAAAAUAUUGUACUAAUUCAUUAUAUAUAAAUGAUUAUGUGUGUUUAGACUUCUUUCAUUAAUUACUACAUAUUUUCUACACUCACAAUAUUUGUCAGAUCGCUAUAUAAUCAACUUGAUAAUGUUAAAUCCCUCAUGCAAUCCAUUUCCUUCCAAUUUUUUGUGAUAAACUAAUAGAUAAUUAACUAAAUAAACAUCCUACAAAGUUUCAAUAAAAAUUUCCAAGUUUUUCUUACAAUUUCCGUGGUUUCCAUGUAAUUUUUAUCGAUAUCGAUAUUUUACCGAUAUUUUCGUCGAUAUUUCCGUGUUUUCGGACUACCGAUAUUUCCGAUAUUACCGAUAUUUUCUUCCUUGGUCAUGCAUUGGGGUCCAUUUGGAAUGAGGAGAUUUCAAACCUCGAUCCAAUAUUUUUAUGAUUUCAUAUAAUAUGGCAUGCUUAUUUAUACAUAAUAGGAACAAGAAUAAUUUCGAUUCUUCAGUUUCACGCGUUUACUAAAACAGGACAUGUUGUAUUUAUAGAGAAUAAGAAUUAAAACAUUUCGACGAGCUCACUACUAGUUUUAUAGGUUUUCUUAAUUAACUCAAUCAUAUAGUAAAAAUUCAAAUCAUUAUGUUUUAAUCACUCCAUCCACGUGGACCCUUAAAUUAUACCGGUACUGAAAUAGGUUUAAAAUCACUGUUCACCUACAAUGAAAUGACUGUUUUGCGCCUAUUUCACUCUACCUAUAAUAUGAUUAUCUUUCCUCAUAUUACCAUCAUCUUCUUUCACUUCUCUUAGACCAUCUCCAACCCUUGAGCUAAAAGCCAAAUUUUUUAGCCCGGAAAAUUUAACUUUUAGCCCAGAAAUAUCUUUUCUGCUCCAACCCUUCUACCCUAAAAUUUUAGCCCGGAAUUAUUAAAGAAUGAAAUUAGCCUAAAUUUUUUUCUUAAAUCAAUUUUUUUUUAAAAAUAAAUAUGUAGAUUAUUAUAAAUUAAUUUUAUGAACAUUUUAAUAUAAAAAAAUUUAAAUUCCGAUAAACAUUUCACAUUUAGCCCGGGGGAAAGCUGGGGGGUAUUUGACCCAAAAAUAGCAUUUGGCAUUUAGCCUAAAAUUUUAGCAUGAGUUGGAGAGUGUUUGGGGUAAUUUGGCUUUUAACCCAGAGUUGGAGAUGAUCUUACACUUUACUUUUUAUCUUUUUCUUUAUAUAAAAAGUUAUAUAAAAAUGUUAAUAUAAUUUAAUCAUAAUUGUCUAAAUAAAACAGGAGAUAAAGGAAAAGAUAUUAGAAGGGAAAAGAAUUUUACAGCGCUCCCGAAUUCUUAAUUCCACCUCUCUCGAUGAAAACACUACGACCAGAAAACCUCAUCAAGUUGACCAAAAAAAAAAGGGUCUCUCCUCUCAACCUGCUAUUCCAUCUCUCUCGCAGCGGAAGUGAGAUUCGUUCAAGGUAAUUCCAGUUCAGAAGGACAAAUUUUUCCAAUUUCUGGGUUUCUUUUUGCUUCUGUUCUGUUAAACUCAUCCUGAAGUUAUUUGUUCAAAGACUAAGUAUUGUUGUUCAAUUAAAGAUUUUUGGGUUUCUUUUUGCUUCAUUUCUGUUAAAUUACUCAUCUUGAAGUUAAUUUUGUUCAAAAACUAAAGUAUUCUUCUUCAAUUAAUCUUACAAGAAAGCACAUGAGAACGUGGCACACUAGAUGUUCGAUGAAAAGUGUCAAUAUUUCAAUUUCUAAUUUCUGUGUAUAUAAUUUGUGACGAAGCAGAACGAGUAAAGCCAGCAGCUGUGAUUUGUAAAGUGGAAGAUUGGAUGUGUUGAUGUGUGGCAUGCUCUAAUUAGGUAUAUUUUUGUGUAGUAAGAAAGCCAUAGAGAGAGAGAGAGUCGCGUUUUUUUUUUUUUUUUUUUUUUUUUUCGGAUUAGGUUGAUGUUUCAGUCGUAAACUUGAUUAAGCAAUGAAAGUUGAGGACAUACAAGUGACACAUGUAAUUGGGAAUUUGUAAGUUACAUGCAAAGCUCAUGGAAAGUAAGCUUUUGUAAUGUGUCUCUAAUGUCUACUCUACAACGAUUGUCUUCGAACACUGUUGUCACAUUUUUGGGGAGAAAUUUCAAAGUAAGGUGUUAAUGUCUGAUGUAAGACUAUGUUGAAAUUUCGAAGUAAAACGUUUAUUUAAUUGUUUCGUUUUUUAUAUGAAAAAACAUUUACUAUUGAAAUUUUUCAUGGUGCCUUGUUUUAUAAAAGAUUCAGGGCGGGAAUGAUUUAGAUUUCAUUGAUUGGCAUCGUUUUUCAAGUUUUGUCUGUGCUUUUGUUUGUAGGAUCAACUUGCAAAAGAACAUAGCAGAGAACAAACAUUGUCAAUUUAUUUGUUGAAGUAUUGCAGCUAUCUGCACGACUCCAACAAGCCACACCAAGCAUACAAUGGAAAGCUCCAUCUCCCUCUUUCCCUCCCUCCAUUUUCUUCUUAUGAGUUUCCUGCUAACAUCAAUUUGUAUAUCGAUAAAAUACGAUUUGAACAACUCUUUAUAUGUAUAUAGAGUUGUCAACAACUACUGUAUAUUUAUAUAUAUAUAUACUUUGGCACUCGUUUUGGCACACCAUCUAAAAGAUUAUGGUGGUGACGGAAAAUUCACAAUUGGAACUCAGUAAACAAAGCAAAAUGAGGAUCUUGUCUCACGGUUUAGAACAGUUCAAAUUUAUCACUGUAUCUUUGAUCCCAGCGAAAACUAUUGGCAUGUAAACUCCCUCCCGAGACGUAAAUGAGUGAACCUUCAAGGUCACAAAUCACAAUUCAUAGUCUUGUUUAUUAGCAAGUUCAGUACACGAAUUUCCUCAUUUAUCAUACAAUUCAAAAGCUUAAGAUCUUUGACCACUCAGCUUUAUGGGUUUCGCGCCUGAAGAGACGACAAACCAAUGACAACAGCCAGUGCCAAAGAUCUGCUCUGGCUUUUCCUCGCCUAAAUAGCGCUUUGACAUUGUUUUCAUCCCCUGCCAGUACCUGCGAGCAUUCAUUCAUCCAAUUACAGUUAACACAGUUGCAUUGACAAUUUAAGGGUAUUCAUGAUGAGGUAAAUAUCUGCCAACUCCAAGCGAAACAGAAAAAUCAAAUAAUAGACGUUAGUUGCCUUGACAAUGUACGGGUAUUCAUGAAAAAGGUAAAUAUCAGCCGACUCCAUACUACGCAGAAAAAUCUAAUAUUAGACGUUAGUUGCAUUAACAAUUUUAAGUCAUAACAGCCAUAUAGUUUGAACAACAGGAUGAAGCAUGGUUAGUAACAUACCAAAGAGACCGUCCGAGUACCACAGGACCUAAAAUUCGAUUAUUGACUGAAGCAUGGUUAGUAAUAGGUUUUGUAACGGUAGUUUUAUGAAACAUUCAAAACAAUAAUGUAGAGGACUUAUUGAAGUUAAUUAUGAGUUAUUGAUAGACCUGUUGUACUCCUAAUAGAUGGAAUAAACCCACAUCUCGCUCUUUAGCCUUGCUCUUACGAGGGAACAGGUCACUUUCAUGCUGGAUUAAGAAUUACUCUUUUCAGUAGCGUGUACGUAUCAUACAUACAAGAGUAGCAUUUUGGUAUUGAAAAUGAAGAACAGUAGCUUUUUGAAGUGCGAGAUUGUGUCUGAAGUUAAAUUUUUUGAUGAUUGGCUAUCCCGCCUUCUCUGGCUUUUCAGAACUGGGGAGGAUAAUAAGUGUUUUUAUGUUUUGAGCAAUUUUUCUUUGUUACAAGCUUCUCUCUUUCAUCCUCCUAAUCAUUGUGUUUGGUUAAUGCUUGGAGUUUUAGUUGUUUUGAACAUGAGUUUCUCUUCAGAAAUGUUUUAAUUCGGGGCUCUCUUUAUGUUCACUAGUUAAUCACCCAAGCAUGUUGGCAUGAUGGCGAAUUUCUUGGGAAGUUGUGAGGUGUCGAAUGACUAAACAGGUCCAGUAAAGUAUAGAUUUAAGAAAUGACCAAAUAUAGAAUCUAGUAUUGAUAGAAAAUCACUAAGAGUGCCGAAGAUUUUUUUAUCUACACUGAAGAGAACACUCUUGAUAUGUUGUAAUGCAGUGGGCAAAGAGAUUGAGUAGAAAAUAGGAUGUAUUCCAACUGACAUUCAGAAAUGAGUACCCAAUUAAAGUUCCUAGUCCGUCGCUUGCACCAGGUAGGGUUCCGAUGAAGUUUUUCGUGGCCGUGACUGUAUCAAGUUCUAUUUCUGGAAAUAGAGAAGAGUGUAGAAAACUUAUUAUGUUGUAGUCUGCAAAGUCAGCCUUGGCACUGAUGUAAAUUGAAGUAAACUUCACUAGGAAGUUGGUUUAGCAUAUAGUGAUCGAGGCACUAAUGUAUUUGCUUUCAUUUCAUUUCCUUGUUUCUACUUUAUCUUUUGUCGUAAAAAAAUUUACAAUCCAAAAUAGGAGGUUUUUCGAACUGGCCUUCCGAAAUGAGCAGCAAAGAAUAAGUUUCUAUUCAAUUUCGAGCACCAGUUGGGUUUCCGUAUGAGUUUUUGUAGCCAUGGUAAAAUGUCAAGUUCGGCCUUGGCACUGAUGCAAACGGGUUAACUCCCACUCACACUCCAGUUCAAUAUGAUCGACGUAAACAUGUUCAAGUUAAUCAACAUUUUAAUUUAUUUGACUUUUUGUAAAGUAUGAGGAUCAACUGACAAACUUUCCAAUUGAGUUUAUCAUAGCUCACUAGAAAAAGAUGGGCAUUGAUUUGUGCACUCCUCAACUGAGGUUACUUAGGGCCUAUUUGGAAUCUUAUUUUGUCUAAUUUUUUGUUUAAAUAAAUAAUAAAUGUAGCUAAAUUACUUAAUACGCAUUAGUUUCAAAACAAAAAAUUGGAUAAAAAUAUAAUACCAAACAUCCCCUUACAUAUGAGUUAGUUUGAGCAAGAGGUUUCUAUAUCUCAAGAGAUUGACGCCAAAUUAGUAAGAGAUGGAUUGCAAAAUGUGAGAUUGGAGAGAUUAGACCAUUACAAAAGCAUGUAAGAGGGUUUUGGAUGCAGUUGAAUAUCAGAGUGCGCAACGAACGAGACUAACAAAAUAAUAGAAAUAUUAUUAAACAACCGAGAAUGCCGGAACGGCUACAAAACCCUAAGAGAUUACAUUGUGACUAACUUGAUUUCGAAUGAAUAACAAAGCACUUUAUUUAUAAUAAACUAACCCUAAACCCUAAUGCUAACGGGCUAAGCCCAGAAAACCAAAUAUUAAGUAAACCUAAAUACUAAUAUUUUCCAACACCCCCGUCAAACUCAUGGCGGUAUACGACAUGGGUUUGCAAACAAGCAGAUGCGGACUGGCUCCGUUAGGCGGACAGACAGACAGGCAGGCUCUGCCGCAACGCGGACAGACAGACAGGCAGGUAUGCAAACUUGACUUGACUUGACUUGCGAACUGGUGAACUUGCGAACUUGACUUGACUUGACUGGCAAACUGGCAAACUGGCUAGUAUUGAAAGUAUGGAGAGAACCCAUCAAUAAACGGACGAUAUUUCCAUAUCUCAAUUGUACCAACAAACAAACAACGCCUACAACUUGUGUGGGCCAUCAAACCAAAAAAUGGGUUGCAAACAGCCAACUGCCCGUGUGGGCCAAAACAAACAGCCAAUUUUAUUUAUUUUUUUGUUCUUUUUUCUUUCUUCCUUCUCUUUGUUUUUUCUUUUCUCCUUCCUUUCAACCACUCUUUCUGGGCUGUGGUUUUCUAACAAACAAAACAACUGCGAGUGCAGUGAUUAGAUGGAGGUGCGCAUACAGUGGGUAUGAGGAUGGCGUUGGACAGAACAGCAGCAAACUGGUGGGGUGUGGGGGCGACAGUGACUGGGUGCAAGUACGGUGCUGGUUCUGGGUUUCCGACUGACAACGAAGGAUGAAUGGUCGCUGCGAUGCGGGUGCUGAAUAAACAAACUCCAAACUUCCUUUUUUUUUUUUUUUUUUUUCUCAACUGGGCUUCUUCAUACCUGCAAAACAAGCACAGCAGAUGCAGGUUUGGAGGCAUGACAGGGUUGCGGCGGGACGAUUAGGCAGGAAAGGGGAUGCGGGUACCAUGCAAAGACAAGGCAGUGGUGGGUAGAUCUGAUUCUGCGAUGGUGAUGGCAAUGGUUUGCGGAUCAGAAAGGCGGCGGAUCAGCGGGGGUAACCUACGGGUUCAAUCUUCAAGUUGCUGGCGGCAUGGUGUGGGGUUGAUGCGAGUGAAGUAACAAGGCACAGAUGCAGACGGGUCGAACUUUUUCCAGGCUUUUUUUUUUCUACCAACAAUCAAACACAACUAGACAUUCCGAACACGACAAAAACAAGCAAACAGAUACCAACCAAAGCAGAUUAAAUCCCGAAGAAUGAAACCUGCUCUGAUACCAAGUUGAAUAUCAGAGUGCGCAACGAACGAGACUAACAAAAUAAUAGAAAUAUUAUUAAACAACCGAGAAUGCCGGAACGGCUACAAAACCCUAAGAGAUUACAUUGUGACUAACUUGAUUUCGAAUGAAUAACAAAGCAUUUUAUUUAUAAUAAACUAACCCUAAACCCUAAUGCUAACGGGCUAAGCCCAGAAAACCAAAUAUUAAGUAAACCUAAAUACUAAUAUUUUCCAACAGUGUAGGUAUUCAGUUUUCCAACAUAUUGUUAGCAAAACACAGUGUAUAAGUAAAUACAUAUUAAUUGCUUGGUAAGGAAAAAUCUAGAUUAAAUCAUGAUCAUAGGAUUGUUAUCAAUUGUCAAUAUUAAAUAUAUGUUAAUGAUACAAUGUCGCAUGACUUGAGCUGACUUUAAUUUAACCAAAAAUCAUAUAACAACUUUAUUUAAUGAAAAGGAUAUAAAAAUUAAUGAUGAGGACAAGCUAAAAGAAAACAAGCUUAAAUAAAGGGCCACAAACUGGAACUAAGUCCAGCGUGCAAAACAUUUUUUCUUUUUCAAUCCAUGCCACUGACGGAACAUUACCUUCCAUCAGCCCAAAUCGUUAAAUUUUGAAUUUCAAACAGGAACUAAGUCCAGCGUGCAAAACAUUUUUGCUUUUAACGAUGACGGAACAUUACCAAAUCGUUAAAUUUUAAAUAAAGGCAAACUGGAACUAAGUCCAGCAUGCAAAACAUUUUUUCUUUUUCAAAUCCAUGCCACUGACGGAGCAUUACCUUCCAUCAGCCCAAAUCGUUAAAUUUUGAAUUUCAAACAGGAACUAAGUCCAGCAUGCAAAACACUGCUUUGAAGCUCAUGUCGACUUAUUGACCAAAAGACUUGGAGAGCUUGUUCAUCCAUCACAUGUCGACUUAUUCUUUGCUCAUGGACCAAAAGAUUGCUUUGAAGCUCAUCAAUAGAUAAGGUGUCCAGUGUUGGAAUAUAUUAGUAUUCUAAGUAUUAUAUUGUUUGAGUUUUCUUAUAAGUUUAGUUUGGGCUUAACCUGUUAGCAUUAGUGUUAGGGUUAGAGUUAGUUUAUUAUAAAUAGCAUGCUUGUUAGUCAGUUGAGAACAAGCUAUUCACAAUGUAGUCUCUUAGGGUUUUGUAGCCGUUUCGGCAUUCUCGUUUAUUUAAUAAUAUUCUUAUUUUGUUAGUCUUGUUCGUUGCGCACUCUGAUAUUCAACUUGGUAUCAGAGCAGGUUUCAUCAUUCGGGAUUUAAUCUGCUUUGGGUUGGUAUUCGUUUGCUUGUGUCCGUUGUCGUUCAUGUUCAGAUUGUCUAGUUGUUUUUUACAGUUUGCAAGGAAAAACAAUGUGUUAAUUUUUUUCAGUUGUGUUGACGGCCUGCUGUUUCGCCGCCGUCGUCGACCACCACCCAUUGCCAGACCCACCUGAACAAUCCACACCUGACCCAUCUCUGUCAAGCCGUACUAGAUCCUUUUGCACCACUUUGAUCCGCACCUAUUAAACCUGCAUCUCGCUCGCCUCGAACCAGCCUCGCCACCUGCUUGAAUCUCCCGCGCCGACCCAUCACCUGCAACUCAGUCCUAAAUCUCUUCGUCCUCGCUGCACUUGCUCGCACCCACCAAGCACCAGCACCGACAGAACCAUACAUGCUCCAUUCGAACCAGACCACCAGCCAUCCUCGUACCUUGCACACCUCCAUUUGAAUCUGUUGCACUCCCUGUACCCGCAUCCUCGCCGCUGCUUGAACCGCUGCACUACUUCCGCAAGCCCAGACGACAUGACCUGCUUCCUGUUGCUAGAAUCACCGAAGCCCGUAUCUGCACCUGCGUUUGUUUUGCACGAAUUGAGCAUAGAAAAGGGUUAAAAAAAAAGGAAAAAAAAAGUUAUGGAGCCCACGAUCCGUUGGCUAUUACAAUUUGUUUGAAGUAAUAGUAAUUUGUUUGUUCGUUUGUUGCUACAAUUGAGAUAUGGAAAUCUCGUCCGUUUAGUGACGGGUUCUUUCUAUACUCUCAACACUAGCCAAUUUGAACUAGAAUUAGUUUGCCAACAAGAAUCAAGAAUCAAGAAUCAAUUGUAGAUUUGCCAGUCAAGUCAAGUCAAGAAUCAAGUCAAGUCAAGUUAAGUAAAGAAUCAAGAAUCAAGUCAAGUCAAGUCAAGUCAAGUUUGCAUGCCUGCCAGUCCGCCUAACGGAGCCAGUCCGCAUUUGCUUGUUUGCAAACCCAUGUCGUAUACCGCCAUGAGUUUGACGGGGGGUGUUGGAAUAUAUUAGUAUUCUAAGUAUUAUAUUGUUUGGGUUUUCUUAUAAGUUUAGUUUGGGCUUAGCCUGUUAGCAUUAGGGUUAGGGUUAUAGUUAGUUUAUUAUAAAUAGCAUGCUUGUUAGUCAGUUGAGAACAAGCUAUUCACAAUGUAGUCUCUUAGGGUUUUGUAGUCGUUUCGGCAUUCUCGUUUAUUUAAUAAUAUUCUUAUUUUGUUAGUCUUGUUCGUUGCGCACUCUGAUAUUCAACUAGAUCGUUGGAUUCCUCAAUGGAGCAAACUACAUAAUCAUAUUUCGGGGUCAUGGACCUCAAAAUUUUCUCUAUGAUUACCACAUCAUCCAUCUUCUCCCCAUGAAUUCUCAUCAUGUUUGCUAUAGCAAGUGUUCUCCCAAAAUAAUCAUUGACUGUUUCUCCAUUCUUAAUGUGCAGCACCUCGAAUUCCUUGCGAAGAGCCUGCAGUUGAGCACGUUUUACACGUGCAGUUCCCUGAUAUUUUUGUUUCAAAGAAUCCCAUAUAUCCUUCACAGUAUCCUUCUUCAUGAUGGUCUCCAAUAUUAACCGAUCUAUGGCUUGGAACAAAUAGUUCUUAGCCUUCAAGUCCUUCAGCUUCAAGUCAUCCAGAGUCUUCUUCUGUACUUCACUGGAUUCCAAACCUCCUGCAGCAGUGAUCCCAAACUCCACCAAGUUCCAAUACUCUUGGAACGAAGAAAGUUUUCCAUCAGCAUACUCCAAUGGUCGUAGUGUCCAUCGAACCUUGGAAUGACUGGUUGCACAAAACUGUUCUCAGACGCCAUGUCUUGUUUCUUCACUCUAGCACCUAGGUUGCAAGCUUUUGAUCAGGCCCCGUAGUGGGGCUCUGAUGCCAAAUGUUAGAACCAAGAAAAACGCAGGAGUUUCUGCAAUGCAACACUAGAGAGCUUUCAUGAAAUCAGGGAGAAUUUCUUAUUCAGUGAAAACUACCAUCAUGGCUAUUACACUUGAACUGAAAGGAAAUAACAACUGCCCACGAUUUUACAGUUCCUAUAAUCGUGGUAAAGACUACGUCAAAACAGAAAAUGCAUAGUUAUCCCUCAAGAAUAGGGAUUAUUGAAUAACAACCCUUAAAACUAGGAAUCCUAGCUAUACGGGGAACCCUAGCAGUAACGAAAAACCCUAACAACUUUAACAUGGUGAGGCUUAUGUUACUGUUGAUGGGUUUGGUUAACAGGGUUUUCAUUCCUUUUCAGAUUUGUUUCGACACACACUUCUCGAAAUUUGCAAGAUGCUAUGUGAUAUAAUCAAAUGAACAAUUUGAUGUCAGUAGUUUGAGGGAUCUGACCGCAACACACAGCAGCAGCGAUGGGGGAGGAGAAGCGGCACCAGUUGAUGCAGAACCUAUUCGGUGAUCAAUCUGAAGAGGAAGAGGAAGAGGUUGAUUCCGAGCAUGAGUCCAAUCCCCAGCCCAAUUCUGUAUGAUUCUCUAAUUUCAAGUUUCCUAUCUAUUCUGAUUCCAAAAGCAUGUUUGGGAAUGAUAAGGGUUUCAAUUUCUGCUUUAAUCUUUUAGCUGAAGGAAGAUAUAGGUUGUUUUUCUGUUAAUGGCGGUGGAUGAUUUGGAUGAAAGUGUGAAUCUUGGCGAUUUUUUUUGCUUGCAGUUGUUUAGGCCUAACUCCGCCUAUGUCUUACAUGGCCGGUCCCAAGCCCGGAUAAAAGAGGAGGGGGAGGGCGUCAGGUAGUCGACAGCCGGCACUCCAUGAUCACGUCGAAUCCUUAUGAAAAUGAAUCCAGAACAAAAUCGCGCUAAAGCUAGGGCGUCACCCGUAAGUGGCGCGCUGUGUGGCCCGAGCACAGUGAUAAGUGAGCAAGGGUCGCUGUAUCUCCAUCGGCACCCGGAUGCAGUGUUAAAUGAGCAAGGGGGCCAUAGAAACUUCUUUUCGAACGACUCCACUCAAAGUUGUUUGGGAGCAUAUGCUCCUAUCAACUUUACCCGGGACACACAAAAGAAGUACUUUGAUCCUAUUAGACGGGGGAGGGUGAAGAAGCUAGGACAGAAGGGUAGAGUUUAAGAGAGCAAAAUGCGUUUAGGAACGUGGAAUAUAGGAACCUUAACGGGAAAAUCUAUGGAAGUAGUGGAAGUUAUGGUGAGGAGAAGGAUAAAUAUUAUGUGCCUACAAGAAAACUAAGUGGGUUGGUAGUAAGGCAAAGGAUCUAGAAAACUCAGGGUUUAAACUUUGGUAUUCGGGCACAAAUAGAACGAGAAACGGUGUUGGCAUCAUCGUGGACAAGACCUUGGUACAAGAUGUUGUAGAUGUCAAGAGGGUCGGAGAUAGAAUCAUGGCAAUCAAGAUUGUAAUAGGACAAGAACUUAUCAAUGUGAUUAGUGCGUACGCACCUCAAGUAGGGUUGGAUACGAGUUCAAAGGAGAAAUUUUGGGAAGAUCUUGGAGACUUGGUGCAAGGAAUUGCUCAGACGGAGAAGUUAUUUAUAGGAGGAGAUUUAAAUGGACACGUGGGCAGGGAGACAGGCAACUAUGGAGGUUUUCAUGGUGGCCAUGGUUUUGGGGAGAGAAACGAGGAUGGGGAAGCUAUCUUGGAUUUUGCAAUGGCAUAUGAUCUCUUCUUAGCCAACACCUUCUUUAAGAAGAGAGAAGAACAUGUGAUCACCUACAAGAGUGGAUCGUCAAAAACACAAAUAGAUUUUCUUCUAAUGAGGAAAGGGGAUCGUAUAACUUGUAAGGAUUGCAAAGUUAUACCAGGAGAGAGCGUGGCUAAUCAACAUCGCUUGUUGGUGAUGGAUGUACAUAUCAAAAGAGUAAGACAAAAGAACAAGACUUGGAAGUGCCCAAGGACUAGAUGGUGGAAUCUAAAAGAAGAAAAACAAGUCAUUUUCAAAGAGAAGGUAAUCACCCAAUGUGUGUGGAAUAGAGAGGGGGAAGCUAGCCAAAUGUGGGAUUCCAUGGCUAGUUGUAUCCGAAAAGUAGCAAAAGAGGUAUUAGGAGAGUCCAAGGGCUUUGCCCCACACCAAAAGGAAUCUUGGUGGUGGAAUGAGGAGGUACAAACAAAGGUGAAGGCUAAGAAGGAAUGCUGUAAAGCCUUAUACAAGGAGAGGACCGAUGAAAAUGGUGAAAGGUAUAGAAAAGCGAAGCAAGAGGCGAAGAAAGCUGUCAGAGAAGCUAAGUUAGCGGCUUACGACGAUAUGUAUAAACGACUAGAUACCAAAGAAUGAGAGUUGGAUAUCUAUAAACUAUCUAGAGCAAGGGAAAAGAAGACAAGGGACCUAAACCAAGUGAGGUGCAUCAAGGAUGAGGAUGGAAAGGUUCUUGCUACAGAGAACGCGGUUAAAGACAGAUGGAGAGGUUAUUUUCAUAAUCUUUUCAAUGAAGGACAUGAAAUGAGUGCUUCUUUAGGGGAGUUGAGUAACUCAGAAGAGUGUAGAAACUACUCUUUUUAUCGUCGAAUCCGGAAGGAAGAAGUGGUUGUAGCUUUGAAGAAGAUGAAGCAUAAAAAAGCAAUAGGCCCAGACGAUAUACCAAUUGAAGUGUGGAAACUUUUGGGAGAGACAGGUAUAACAUGGCUCACUGACCUUUUCAAUAGGAUUUUGAAAACGAAGAAGAUGCCAAAUGAGUGGCGAACGAGCACUUUGGUGCCUAUCUACAAGAAUAAAGGCGACGUACAAAAUUGCAUGAACUAUAGGGGUAUUAAGCUAAUGAGUCAUACAAUGAAGCUCUGGGAGAGAGUCAUUGAGCAUAGAUUGAGGCAAGAGACACGGGUUUCGGACAACCAAUUCGGGUUCAUGCCAGGGCGCUCAACCAUGGAGGCAAUCUAUCUUUUACGAAGAUUGAUGGAAAGAUAUAGAGAUGGGAAAAAAGAUUUACACAUGGUCUUUAUAGAUUUGGAAAAAGCGUAUGAUAGGGUCCCAAGAGACAUUCUUUGGAGGAUUUUAGAGAAGAAAUGAGUACGAGUAGCAUAUAUCCAAGCUAUAAAGGAUAUGUAUGAAGGAGCAAAGACUGCCGUAAGAACUCAUGAAGGACAAACCGAAAGCUUUCCCAUAACUGUAGGAUUACAUCAAGGCUCAUCCUUAAGUCCUUACCUUUUUACGUUGGUAAUGGAUGAGUUAACAGGACAUAUUCAAGAUGAUAUUCCUUGGUGUAUGCUUUUCGCAGACGAUAGAGUGUUGAUAGAUGAAACUCAGGAAGGGGUAAAUGCAAAGCUUAACCUUUGGAGAGAAGUGUUGGAAUCUAAAGGUCUUCGCCUAAGCCGAUCAAAGACAGAAUAUAUGGAGUGCAAGUUCAGUGCAAAUGGAGGCCAAAACGAGUUAGGGGUGAGGAUCGGAGAUCAAGAAAUACCAAAGAGCGACCGUUUUCGUUACCUAGGAUCUAUCUUGCAAAAGAACGGAGAAUUAGAUGGAGAUCUCAACCACCAUAGAAUACAAGCUGGAUGGAUGAAGUGGAAGAGUGCAUCCGGCGUGUUAUGUGACCGCCGUAUGCCACUGAAGCUCAAAGGAAAAUUUUAUAGGACGGCAAUAAGGCCGGCGAUGCUGUAUGGCACAGAAUGUUGGGCGGUGAAACAUCAACACGUACACAAAAUGGGUGUAGCGGAGAUGAGGAUGCUUCGUUGGAUGUGUGGGCACACGAGAAAGGAUAAGAUUAGGAAUGAGGAUAUCCGGGGUUAAAGUAGGAGUAGCCGAAAUUGAAGGAAAGAUGAGAGAAAUCGGUUACGGUGGUUUGGGACAUGUGUGGACAUGUGCAAGAAGGCCUACUGACGCUUCGAUUAGAAGAUGCGACUAUGGGACAGAGGUUCAGGGCCGAAGGGGUAGAGGAAGACCUAGGAAAACUUUGGAAGAGACUCUAAGAAAAGACUUAGAGUACUUGGAUCUAACGAAGGACAUGACACAGGAUCGAGCGCAAUGGCGUUCUAAGAUUCAUAUAGCCGAUCCCACUCAGUGACUUGGAUUUUCCAAGUCUCCAACCAAGAAGUUUUCCUCACUUGAAAAAUUAAGGGAACACUACCCCAACCUACAUGCUCCACUCAGAAAGCUUCAACAUACAAGCUUCAACAAAAGAAAAUUCAAAGAACUUAGCGAAGAAGGCUUUGGUGUAUUUAACACAAUACGUUGAAAUGAAGGAAAGCUUAUUUAUUGAUAUCCCCGAUAAGCUACAAAUAUGUCCAUAUACAUGAAUCAAAAUAAACACACAAGAGGGAGCCUUCACAAAGGUUGCUUAGGAGAAGUCUGAGCAGUCGGUAGAGCUCCAGAAAGAGAAGGCACCGGAGGGGGAUCAUUUGGAGCCUCAGUACUGGACAGAACCUUAGAAGGAGGAGGCAUCAGAGGUUGAUCAUUUGGAGCUUCAUUACGCACUACAGCCCCAGAAGACGAAGGCAAUAAAUGCCUUUGGAACAAACCCACAAAUCUCUGAUGAUCAAGUAAAACCUGACCAUCAGUUUCCUUCAUCUGGUCAAGCUUCCUCUUCAUGUUUGUAGCAUAGUCAUGUGCGAGCCGGUGCAACUGUUUAUUCUCAUGCUUGAGCCCCCUAAUCUCCUGUUUGAGACUCAUCACUUCAGCCGCCAAUGAUUCAACUUGGCGGGUUCGAGCAAAUAGGCGUUGGGCCAUAUUAGACACAGAACCUGCACACUGAACACUAAGAGCCAGCGAAUCCUUAACAGCUAACUCAUCAGACCGUUUGGAAAGUAGUCUGUUAUCUUUGGGAGUGAGAAGGUUCCUGGCCACCACCGCAGCGGUCAUAUCAUUCUUCAUCACGGAAUCCCCAACGGUAAGAGGACCAGUAGGGGAGACGAAGGAUGGGCGCCAUAUGUUGUCUGGAGAAGGCGGGGCUGCCUCUUCAACAAGGUUCAAGUCAAAACGACGGUCAGAGGGGCCAGACAUUUUCAAAGGUGUUGAAGAGAGAAGAGGUCGGACAAAUCAAGAUCUUAGAAGUGCAAGAAUGAAGCUUCUACUGGUGGAGAUUCAAGUGUGCUUUGGAACUUAAUGCUUGAUUUAGCCCCUAUAAAAAUCUGCACUCGACGGAGCUUCAGAUAUCGAAGAGGCGCCUGCUCAGAAAUCGAAGAGGCGCUUUUCUUUGAUUCGAAAGCUCAGGCUGGCUUUGAGAAUCAAAGAGAAUCUCAGAAAUCGAACAGGCGUUUGCUUUCUCAAAAGUUGGGGCUGCUCAAAGACCACGAAAGCCGAUCUCAGAAAUCGAAGAGGCGUUGCUUUCUCAACUUCAAAGACUCACGGGGCCGAUCUCAGAAAUCGAAGAGGCGCUCGCUUUCUCAAAAGCUGGGCUCCCAGAGACCACGAGGGCCGAUCUCAGUAAUCGAAAAGGCACCUACUUUUCCAACCUUGUCAGCACCUGUCACACGCACACUCAGCUUUGCGGAAAUUAUGGGCAUUCUGUCGAAGACUUCUGGGGAAGGUAGAAAACACAUGAAUCUUACUGUUCAAUCACCCACUUCCCACACGCAACAAUAGCUCAUGGGUACCGCAGAUAACUUUGCCAAAGUUCUCUGCCAAAGUUGAGCACGUGAAGCUUGCAGCUCCCACUACAUCGCUCUGACCAAGAAGGGUAAAAGAAUAGCAAAGAAACAGCACUAACAAAGUUUAGACCCAUAAAUUUUGAAGGUCUAGCUACCAUAUUAUUACCCACAAGGGUAAAGGAACAGUACCACUGCUGGAUAAUUGGAAAGUCCCUGUGUGUCAACCUCUGUGCUUCGCGGCAAGAUAGACUAGCAAACAUGCCCAACCUUUACUCACAUUCGAGAAAACACUCCCAAUAAGAUUGCUUGCUCCAAAAUCGAAGAGGCACCGUCCUCCGAAUCUCGAGAACUAAACUCCCAACAUGACUACUUUCUUAAAAAUCGAAGAGAGGGUAAAGGAACAGUACCAUUGCUGGAUAAUUGGAAAGUCCCUGUGUGUCAACCUCUGUGCUUCGUGGCAAGGUGGACUAGCAAACAUGCCCAACCUUUACUCACAUUCGAGCAAACACUCCCAACAAGAUUGCUUGCUCCAAAAUCGAAGAGGCACCGCCCUCCGAAUCUCGAGAGCCAGACUCCCAACAUGAUUACUUUCUCAAAAAUCGAAGAGACAUUGCUCCCCGAAUCUUCGAGAGCCAGACCCCCAGCAUGAUUGCUUUCUCAAAAUCGAUGAGGCAUCGUUCUCCGAAUCAAUCGAAGAGGCGCUCGCUUUCUCAAAAGCUGGGCUGCUCAUAGACCACGAGGGCCGAUCUCAGAAAUCGAAGAGGCACCUACUUUUCUAGCCUUGUCAGCAUCUGUCACACGCACACUCAGCUUUGCAGAAAUUAUGGGCAUUCUGUCGAAGACUUCUGGUGAAGUAGAAAGCACAUGAAUCUUACUGUUAAAUCACCCACUUCCCACACGCAGUAAUAGCUCAUGGGUACCACAGAUAACUUUGCUAAAGUUCUCUGCCAAAGUUGAGCACGUGAAGCUUGCAGCUCCCACUACAUCGCUCUGACCAAGAAAGGUAAAAGAAUAGCAAAGAAACAGCACUAACAAAGUUUAGACACAUAAAUUUUGAAGGUCUAGCUACCAUAUUAUUACCCACAAGUGUAAAGGAACAGUACCACUGCUGGAUAAUUGGAAAGUCCCUGUGUGUCAACCUCUGUGCUUCGUGGCAAGGUAGACUAGCAAACAUGCCCAACCUUUACUCACAUUCGAGAAAACACUCCCAACAAGAUUGCUUGCUCCAAAAUCGUAGAGGCACCGUCCUCCGAAUCUUGAGAGCCAGACUCCCAACAUGACUACUUUCUCAAAAUCGAAGAGAGGGUAAAAUAACAGUACCAUUGCUGGAUAAUUGGAAAGUCCCUGUGUGUCAACCUUUGUGCUUCGUGGCAAGGUAGACUAGCAAACAUGCCCAACCUUUACUCACAUUCGAGAAAACACUCCCAACAAGAUUGCUUGCUCCAAAAUCGAAGAGGCACCGCCCUCCGAAUCUCGAGAGCCAGACUCCCAACAUGAUUACUUCCUCAAAAAUCGAAGAGACACUGCUCUCCGAAUCUCGAGAGCCAGACCCCCAGCAUGAUUGCUUUCUCAAAAAUCGAAGAGGGCAUCGUUCUCCGAAUCUCGAGAGCCAGAUACCACAGACCAUUUUUUCAAAAGUGCUCUGACAGAGUUAAAACAUGUGAAACUGGCAGCUCCCACUACCGUGCUAUGACCAAACAGGGUAAAUGAAUAGCAUUACUACUUGUUGUUAGGAAGACUCCUAUAUAUGUCGACCCCCAUCCCCAACGGACAGGCAGACCUGCAAAAAUGCUCAACCCUUCAUCAUAUCUGAGAGGACACUCCCAACGAAGCCUUUCGAAAUAUUCAGCUUUCUUUCCCCCCGAUAAUACCUCUACAAACAAGCUAUACUAGAGCAAGAAUAUCUCAUAUCAUCAGGGUUAAAAGCAAGAGUAUCCCAUAUCAUGCUUUUUCCCUAUCUUUUCCUUUGGCCUUGUUUUUACCUGCAAGACAAGGAGAAAGAGAGCAAUCAGUCAGCACUUGGAAUCAAGCUUCCAGCCAGGAACUGACUGCCUGGAACCCCUUACCUGAUUACUUACCUGGCAUUGCUCUCGAGUACUCAUCUUCAACAUCUUAUGUUUCCAGGGAAGAUUCCGCAUCUGCUUGAGGAACAGAUAGGGCAAGUGCGAAGGAUAUAAGGAAGCAUGUGGAGACAAGCGUAACAGCACACGUGCCGAUACAUCCAUUACUCUGUCAAAAGCAAAAGUAUCCCAUAUCAGCAGGGUGGAACGUACUCUAGAUUUGAUGGACUUGUUUUGACCCUCAAAUUCUUCAGUCGGCCUUAUACUCUGGAGGAAACCAGAAAACCCUCCAGCUCAGUUCAAGAAUAAGCCUGUGGAAAGUUACUUCUUCAAAAGCAAAAGUAUCUCAUAUCAUCUCUUCUCAUUUUUCUUCUCUUUAUCCUUCAUGCUGCUGCAAGAUGGGGAGAAGGUGAACAAUCAAUCGGAGCUCUGAUUGCUUACCUUGUCUGUCACCUCUUUCAGCAGACUCCUUAGCUCGGCGACUUGGGGGACUCCUACUACAUGGUUUGUAUCGCGCUUGACCAAGCCUGAAACUACAAGUAAGCUUCAAGUGAAAUUGAUACAUUACCUUGUGCAUCUCCACCAGUUAAAGAUACCACCCCUGGAUGGAGGAAGAGUACUUCCAGAGAAGAUGCCACAUCUACCUAUGAGACAGAUAAGGCAAGUCAAGACAACACCAUACUCCGAUACUUAGAAGUUUCGUGAUUACGAGAUCAUUCUCACACAAUAUUUCCUAAUGUCAUUUGUACUAAAUCAUUCACUUGUACUCACUAAAGGAGAGCUUGAACCUAUGUACUUGUGUAAACCCUUCACAAUUAAUGAGAACUCUUCUAUUCCGUGGACGUAGCCAAUCUGGGUGAACCACGUACAUCUUGUGUUUGCUUUCCUAUCUCUAUCCAUUUAUAUAUUUAUCCACACUAAUGACCGGAGCAAUCUAGCGAAGAUCACAAAAAGCGACCGUUUUCGCUACCUAGGAUCUAUCUUGCAAGAGAACGGAGAAUUAGAUGGAGAUCUCAACCAUAGAAUACGAGCUGGAUGGAUUAAGUGUAAGAGUGCAUCCAGCGUGUUGUGUGACCGUCGUAGGCCACUGAAGCUCAAGGGAAAAUUUUAUAGGAUGGCAAUAAGGCCAGCGAUGUUGUAUGGCACAGAAUGUUGGGCGGUGAAGCAUCAACACGUACACAAAAUGGGUGUAGCGGAGAUGAGGAUGCUUCGUGGGAUGUGUGGGCACACGAGAAAGGAUAAGAUUGGGAAUGAGGAUAUCCGAGGUAAAGUAGGAGUAGCCGAAAUUGUAGGAAAGAUGAGAGAAAAUCGGCUCCGGUGAUUUGGACAUGUGCAAAGAAGGCCGACUGACGCUCCGGUUCGAAGAUGUGACUACGGGACAGAGGUUCAGGGCCAAAGGGGUAGAGGAAGACCUAGGAAAAUUUUGGAAGAGACUCUAAGAAAAGACUUAGAGUACUUAGAUCUAACGGAGGACAUGACACAAAACCGAGCGCAAUGGCGUUCUAGGAUUCAUAUAGCCGACCCCACUUAGUGGGAAAAGGCUUUGUUGUUGUUGUUGUUGUUGUUGCAGUUGUUUAGGCCUGGACUGAAGAAGUUUUGUAGAAUGAGAUUCUUAUGAGUAGUCAAUUUUAGUGGGAUUGUUGUUUCAAUCUAGAUAAUGAAUGAUGUCGUUUCCCUAUUCGGUCUGUCCUUUGACAGUGUAGCAGAUCUGGAAUUUUGUGAAAUGCUCUUUAUUGAGAAUGAAGAGCCACAAAUUGAAGACGAAUAAAAAAAAUUUGCAUGUUCUGAUUAGAAAUAUAGAAUUGGUUUUAAAUUAUUUUCUUGACUGUUUGGUUCUGAUGUGCUUUACCGAUAAAUCAUGGGUUUGCAAGAUAUUUUUUGUUGUUUUCUCUUGCCGUUGACUGGGGAUGUGGGUGAUCCUGUUACCCUGUACACCGCAGUACAGGGCGGUAACAAGAUUAUCUAUUGUGCUACUGCACUCUCUAUAAUCAGCGGAGACCUCUAUAGGGCUGAUCAAGGAGGGGUCUACAAUCUUACCAAAGCAUUUCAGGUGUGGUCGUUAUUGCCAUAUCCUUGAAAUGCUCCUUUUUUACAUUUAGUAAUCUGUUUCGGUUUUGAUGUCUUUUAAGUUCUUGGGUUUGUUCAAUGUUGGAUUUGAAUUUUACCCUUCGAGAGUCGCUUAUGUGAAGCUUUUGACUGUUUGCAUUGCAGGACUAUAACAACAAAAUGGCGCAAUUACGAGCAGGAAAGAGUGGCAAGAGCAAACUUACAAUUGUAAAGUUCAAGACUCUGGAGUCAGUGGAUGGAUGGGAAGUUCGUCAGGGGACUUAUUUUCAGGAUGUGGUUGCUUCCAAGUAUGAUGGAGGAAUGGAUGCCAAGUUCGAAUUCACUUCACCAGAGAUGCUGUUUUCUUUUACUCUAUUUCUUGCUGCAUUGUAGGAUAUGUUUUCACCACGGGAGGGUAUAUUGAGCUGUCUGAAAAGCUUUCACUUCCUUUGGGUCAAACCCUCGACCGGUAUAUGCCAUAUUUGCAUUCUCAAAUGGAGCUACUAAGCUAAAAGCAGCUUCCCAAAAUAAAAUUCAUGGUAUUUUUCUUAUUAUUAUUUUCUUAGAAUUUGAACACAAAAUGAAUUCAUUUAAUAGAAAAUCAUUUGCAACAGAAAUUACCUGAUGAAUUUGCUGCACAGCUACGACAUUCUAACAACAUUUAGUCAAUUUGAGAAGCAAGCUGUGCAAGUUAAGUUGCAUUCUGUUUACUUAAUUUUCUGUGUUUUUUCUUUUGCUGUUUGGAUUUAGGAGCUAAAACAUUCGUCUUUUGCAAUGUUUUUAGGUGGAUGAUGCUAUCUGGGCUGCUGAAAAAGCCACAUUUAAAGCUGAGAUGAGUGGAAAGAAGCUAAUGCACUCAUGGAACAACUUCAGACAUUUCAAGCGUGGCUUUGGGAUUCUGCAACAGUCCCGGGUUUGAGGAUUACAUAAAAAGAGGGCUGGAACCCAGCUAGUCGAAGCUGGGGGGCUAGGCCCUCACGCCCAUAAUAUAUUACUUGAAAAAAAAGACAUACAACGGGAGGGACAUAAUACUUAAACCCCAAUGAUAAAAAAGCAAAAUCAUAUACAACCACUCUAAGCAAUCAACAUGGGCAUCACAUAUUGAAUCCAAAAGGUUGACGCCCCAUAUAAUUGAAAAUAAGGAAAUUAAAGAGACUAAAAAAGAAUAAUUGAAGUUGGUGGGUGAGAAAGCAAAAGUGUGGACGACGAAAUCUUUGAUCCAUAUGGUAUGUCAUCUGAAAAGAAAAAUAAAAUGCUGGUGACAAUGAAUGAAGAAUUGAAAGUAAGAAACGAGAUUGGCAUGUAUUUCAGAGUUUAUACUGAAUUAGGCUAGUGUAAAUUGAAAUAAGUUAGAAAACGCACCUUAACGAAUGUCAAUGUGUGGGAUGUGUGCAAUCUUAGGCCAGUCCUCACCUGUUUCUUUCCGGCACCUUGCGCUUAAAAUGGGGCAACAAAGAAUGUGCAAUGUAGAAAGACAGGGGAGUGCACGAGUCCCUUCUGGCAGUGAAGUUAGAUUAGGACACCAGUUGAUAUACAACGUAGAAAGACAGGGAAAAGAAGGGAACGACAUAUUUUCCGUUGAUGAAGAAGAAGAAGCACUGUUUUGAGUGUGCGCCCUCCACCAUCCCUUCAGAACAGGGCAAUGUGCUAUGGAGAGCUGCUCCAGGGAGGGAAAGAGUGAGAUCCUCAUCAUCUCAUCACUCAUACUAUUACUGCUCUCUUUCUCUGAUAUGUACUCCAACUUCUCCAAACAUCGAAGUUCAAGGGACUUAAGGGAAGGCAAAUGAUCCAAGGGUGGAAGAUGUUGGCAUCUCUCACAUCCAUUCAAUCUGAGAUUAACAAUAUUAAUGAGAGAAGAAACCCAACUCGCAAACCUCACACCACCAUAUAAGUUUAUGGACAACUGCUUUAGAUUAGAAUGGGGUUGCAAUACUUCCAUUGACUUUAUAAUAUCCUCCUCAUCAACUGCGCUUACAUCUUCUCCAAGUUUCCAGGAUAAAUCCAACGAAUGGAGAUGCUGUUUGUCCUUGAGAGGUGUACCAACAUUUGAUUCUGACACCACAUCUUUCUCCUGCCUCAAAUUGCUUAUGACUAAUUUUCCCCUUAAUUCGUUAAGGGUCCCCAGCUCAGCAAGACCAGCACUACCGCCCCUCCCCAAACAAUUGCUUUCGCUCAAAACAAAUCUAUUCAAUGUACGAACACCUUUCAAUUCACCAAUUCCACGUGGCAUUCCACUCAAUCCCCAACAGCCUUCCAAGAUGAGAUGCCUUAAGUUGAACAUUUUUUUAAUGUCUCUAGGCAAUUCCACAAGACUCUGACACCAACUGAGAUCUAGUGUUUCCAAAUUCGAAAGUCCAACUAUCCAACCUGGAAGUUUAUUGAUGCCAGAAUUACGACUAAGAUCAAGAUAUCUCAAAUAUUUCAUUUUUCUAAGACAUUUAGGUACUCCUUUAAUUCCUAAUUUACUGAGACUCAAUAUACGCAAUGACUUAAAAUUUGAAACAAUUAUAGCACAAAAUGAAUCACAUAAUGACCCAUCUAUAUCACUCAACUCAUUCUGGCAAAGAAAAAGAAAAGUUCGUAUCUUUUUUGCUUUUGGCAACGAAGUUGGCACUUCCCAUUCUGACGGAUCGACUUGAAAAUUGAAAGAUACAUGACGAAGCUUUUCAUGAAAAUUCUUUUGGUCUGGUUCAACUACGACGCUUCCAAUCCCCGACACUAAGAUUGCAAGUUCAUUCAUGAGAUCAUGCAUUUUACAACUUCUUAUUAUACCAAACUCAUCUUUUUCUUCUUCUUGAAAAAACGAUCUCCACAACAACUCCCUGUAAUAUUCAUACGCAACAUCCUCCAAACCCUUGUUUUCAUCGGAUGACUUAAUGAACCCUUGCGCCACCCAAAGUCUAAUCAAUCUCUGCACAAAGAUCUUAUAAUCAGGUGGGAACAAGCUACAAUAAGCAAAACAAUGCUUCAAAUGUGAUGGGAGCACAUCAUAACUCAAUUUAAGUGUUGGUAAAAUAUCAUUUUCUUCUUGACUUAUUUUUGAAAGUUCCUUUUCUUUGAAAUUCAACCAAUCACUUUCGUCAUCUUUGGCAAACAACAUCCCACCUAUCGUCCUUAUAGCAAGUGGAACUCCCUGACAUUUUCUUGCAACCUCUUUCGCAACUGCCUUAAUUGUUGAAUUCUCUGUCUCCUUUCCAUCUUUAUAAGCCAUUUUCUUAAAUAAAGACCAACUUUGCUCUUCAUUCAAACCCUUUAAGGUGUAUGAUUUAGCUGUGUCUGAUAUCGUCGCAACGGUUUUACUACGAGUGGUUAUUAGUAUUCUACUACCUUCUCCACCACCCAUUAACAAGUUCUUCAAGCUAAGCCACUUCUCUCGAUCCUCAUUCCACACAUCAUCCAACACAAGUAGGUACUUCUUCCUAGCUACUUUUUUCCUAAGAUCUUUUUGCAACUGCUCAAUCUCGUCAUGAUUUUUGGAUUGAAGGAUUUUCUUAACAACUAUAUCCAACUCAAAUGCAUUAGAGACGCAUGUCCAUAUUUUCAACUCAAAAUGAUUUUGAAUCACCUUAUUGUUGAAUAUGAGUUGGGCAAGUGCAGUUUUCCCCAAUCCCCCAAUUCCAACUAUGGAAAUGGUUGACACAUUCUUAGUUGAGAUAGGAUCCAACAAAAGUUGGAUAAUAGCCUUAGUAUCUUCAUCCCUCCCUACAAUAUUUUCCUCAGGGACAAAUGAGUGAGUGACCCUCUCUCUCUUUAUAAAUCGUGUAUCUUCAUGGUUGUCUUUUAAGUCACUGGGUCUACGAGAUGCAACCUCACUAAUCCUCUUGUUAAUGUUUUUUAUCUUGUGACCCAUCUUUAGCCCAAACACAAGUUGAUUUGAGUUAGAAAAGAAAAGGUGCACCUAUAAGAAUUUGAGUAGACAUAAUCAUUAUUUUGAUAGAAGGAUAUUAAUUAAGUUAAUAGAGUUUUGUAAUAGUAGGUUAUAUGAAACAUUCAAAAUAAUAAUGUAGAAGACUUCCUGCAAUUAAUUAUGAGUUAUUUAGAGAUCUAUUGUAUUCCUAAUAGGUGGAUAUCAAUAGGCUUAUGUGACUAUGAAAAGGUUAUACGUGAUUUAACCGCACAAAGCCUCUAAUAUCUUUUUAGUCAAAUGACUUUGGAUGUGAUUCCUAGUCACCAAUAGUGUUUGACAGAAACCUUGUUAGCUUUUUUUUUUCUUUCUUUUUUUAAUCAAAAUCAUUGACUUUGUACAUCUCAUUAUAUUGAUAUUAAUGUAUUUCCAUGUCAACUAUCUAUUUUUGAAAUUCCUUAAUUUAUGGACUUCAAACUUUAUAAUAAACUAUUCCCUUAAAAGAGUAUAAAAGAAACAAUAAAUAGUAAAAUUUGAAACCAACAAAACAUUAAUCUACUAAUAAUCAAGCGAGUACCUUCUAAACACAUAAAAAAAAUGUUUACAUAUAAUUGGAUUCUCAUAGACACGAAUCCAAAACAAGAAUUGCAAAAUCAUACAUAUAUACAUAUAUAUAUAUAUAUAUGGGUACAUUUUGCAUAGAAAUGUAUCCAUGAGACUAAAAAAUGCAUUCAACUCAUAUAUCAUAUAUGGGUACAUUCUAAACUCAUAAAAAACAAUAAAUGCUGCUAAAUCCACCCCAUUAUCUUAUUUUUCUACUCACUUUUUAGUGGAAGUGUUAAUUACAUAUUUAUUCUUUUAUAAAAAGACUUUUAGAGCAUCUACAAAAGAUAUGUCAAAUAUAGUAUGUUAAAAUUUUAUUUGAUGGCUGAUGUGGCAAAUUGAAUACAAGUGUUAAAUCUUCUUAUUUUACAAUGGAUGUGUCAAAUAUUUAUUUUAUUAUUUUAUUGUGCCUAGAAUUACAUUAACUACUAAAAAAUAAUCAAAAUUAGUUUUAAUUUGUAUUAUAUUGGUUGUUAAUGAGAUUCAUGCAUUAAAAAAAAUAUUAAAUAUAUUUGACUCCUUCUUUAUUUGCUGUUAAAAAAGGCAGCUAGAAAGCAAAAAGUCAAAUGACUCACAUGUCAUAUCAUAUAUGAUAUAUCUAUUGAAGAACACUUGAAUAUCUUUUAAUCCUAUUUGACAUAUUUAACAUUUCUUUUGAAGAUGGUCUUAGACCCUUAUUUAUAAAUUCAUUAUAAUUUUUUUUUUUAAGAAAAGAGAACAAAAGGCCAAACAACCAAAGCCCACCAUACAUCCCGACUUACACAACCCCUCUCCUUACCGCCGCCGCCAAAACCCCCCAUUUUCCAGGCGCUAUCUCUCACCUGCACCAGUAUACCAUAUCCAGAUCUAAGAAAC
RNAcentral lists this long non-coding RNA (72785 nucleotides) under Malus domestica (apple). Its description in RNAcentral is "long non-coding RNA (MDOM_LNC006424)". Lineage: Eukaryota; Viridiplantae; Streptophyta; Magnoliopsida; Rosales; Rosaceae. The record is from RNAcentral.